CUCCCCAUUUGACUUCUAGCCUGCUGUUAAGGCGCCGCGUAGCGUUUGUUGCUGCAGAUUUCAUGUGGUUUUCUCUGUGCUGGGCUAUUAUGGCUAGCCCCGGUACCAGGCUGGACUUCGUAAUAAUACUCCGUAUGUGAAUCGUCUGAUGAACAUGCAUACCGUUGGGUGGGGGUGGAUCAGCGGAUUCCAACAUUUUUGUUUUGUUUUGAGCUGGCUGGAUGUGACGUAUCUUCAAUAGUUCAAUGUGUUUGUUGCUGACACAACUCUCCAUCUUUUCUCUACACAAUAUUAAUAGCUACUCCCUCCGUCCGGAAAAUACUUCCGGAAAAUACUUGUCAUCAAAAUGAAUAAAAGAGGAUGUAUCUAGAUGUAUUUUAGUUCUACAUAUAUUCUUUUUUGUUCAUUUUAAUGACAAGUAUUUUCGGACGGAGGGAGUAGCUACUAUCACCCUGUUCCAAAUUAUAAGAUGUUUUGGAUAUUUCAAUAUGGAUUAUGUACGGGCUGAAAUGAGUGAACAAGUACACUAAAAUGCGUCUAUACAUCCGAUUUAGGGAAAAAAAUAGAACAUCUUAUAAUUCAAAACCUGAGGGAGUACCUUGUUAUGAUCUUUGUUCUUCACAAAUAAUUCAUGGUUCUGGAUGUAUGCUUUGUGAUAAUGUUUUCGUUGAAUCUGCUGCUUGGGGGGUGAUCUUUUUUCUUUUGAAGUCCGCCUUGGAGGAUCUUGAUUAAAAAAAAAAGGAAGAGAGCUUCCCGAUUAAUAUACUUAAAUCUAGACUAAAACCGUCACACUUAUCCACGGAGGGCAACACUGGCUGACCAAAAGGCCAUCUCCAACGUCGACCCUCAAACCGCCCAUGUAUGUCCGGAUCAUGUUGUUCGGGCAGCAGAAGCCAUCCAACACGAGCAUUUACACACAUUUUCUUCUGCAAACCGGAGACAAACGUAAGGUGGCUUUGCGAGAGUCCGGACCGCUGCCACGCCCGCUUCUGAUCGUGCUAGCACACCCAAAACCCCUCCUCCCUCUCCCGCGCGCGUUCCCACCCGGUGCCAGCUGCCUGCAUACAUGUCGCUGUAGAGCGCGCCGCUCCACAUUGAAGACGGCUCAGGGCGGACACGACGUCUCACUGCCUCUUCGCCUCUCCGGUGUCCGCGUCUGUUCAAUGGCGGAGACGUGUUACUACAUGGGACGGGGCGGAUAUCUACCAUGCCCGUUGAAUGUAUGUUCGUCUGCAUGCCGCCAUUAAGCAGGCCCGUCGGCCAAGAAAUCCACUCCGACGCCGCGUAUUGACGCACCCUGGCGUCUGGCCUCACAGGAAUCCGUUGUUUAAAGACGGCCACACCCGACUAACUCCAAGCCACAACACAAGCCUGCUCCCCAUCCUCUUCCCUUGAACUACAUACGCCACGACUGCAGGUCGCGAAGCUCUACGGGAGAGCCUUUCCACUGAGAUGAAGCACGCGGUGGCCGCCCGUGCCACCGUCCGGCAGAGCCGCCGUGCCAGGCGGAUCGAGGCCAGCUUGCGGGCCAGCUCGCCCAAGGUCUCCGACAACGAGGACGACACCACGAUGAAGACGGGCUCUGACGACACCGUCCCGAGGCCCACGCCUGUGCACGACGGCUUCAUAAUGGAGCAUGCGCAGAUGCACUACAACGCCGCCAUCACGAAGGUGCAGCCCGCGCCUUUGUCGGUGUUCCGGCAGGCGCUAGAGCAGCACCGGCAGGCGGAGGGCCAAAUCUACAGCGAGCGUGGGAGCAAGGGGGCCGUGGUGGCAACGGCCGCGGCGAACCCCAACUUCAUUGUUGUCGGUGUGGAGCCGACGAUCUAUGGGACAGGACAACCCCUUUACUAAUUCGGCAAGGGCGGNNNNNNNNNNNNNNNNNNNNNNNNNNNNNNNNNNNNNNNNNNNNNNNNNNNNNNNNNNNNNNNNNNNNNNNNNNNNNNNNNNNNNNNNNNNNNNNNNNNNNNNNNNNNNNNNNNNNNNNNNNNNNNNNNNNNNNNNNNNNNNNNNNNNNNNNNNNNNNNNNNNNNNNNNNNNNNNNNNNNNNNNNNNNNNNNNNNNNNNNNNNNNNNNNNNNNNNNNNNNNNNNNNNNNNNNNNNNNNNNNNNNNNNNNNNNNNNNNNNNNNNNNNNNNNNNNNNNNNNNNNNNNNNNNNNNNNNNNNNNNNNNNNNNNNNNNNNNNNNNNNNNNNNNNNNNNNNNNNNNNNNNNNNNNNNNNNNNNNNNNNNNNNNNNNNNNNNNNNNNNNNNNNNNNNNNGGGUAGUCAAUGCAAAGAGCAAGGGCAACAAGGAGCGCCACGGUUUUACCCAGGUUCGGGCCGUUGAGAAGCGUAAAACCCUACUCCUGCUUUGGUGUAUUGGGUGAAGGUGGAAGAAAGUACAUGGAGCGCUCUUCCCCAGCAAGUCGCUAAGGGAGGGCAGCUACACGAAUACCUAUGCGUGAAGGUUGCAAAGGGUUCGACCCCCUGUAGAGGUUGCCUUGGCCCUCCUUUUAUAGCUCAAGGGGUUACCACAGUGGCAAAAAGGUCAUUACAGGGUGAUUAGACUGAUAAAAAACUAUCAUACCUAACUCUACUAGUUAGGACAGAAAUACAUUAAAUGCACUGCUAGGUGUGGAGGAGGAGCCCUGGCAAGGCUGCAGGCUGCCGCACCACUUGCUCAACUACCUCCUAUUAGCUUGACACGCCAUUAGAACGGGUGUCAAUAAAGGUAAUCUUCCCUUCCAGCAAGCCGACACGUACGGACUGUCUCCACCUAACCACCUGCGGGCUCGACACCUCACUGAUCAGCGACCAGCUGGCAGAGAGGUGGAGCGCUGGCGUUUGGCAGCAAGUAUGUGCUCAAGGGGCUUGCCGGCUCGCUCUUGUCGGGGUUGGUCGCUUCUAUUGCGGAUUUUGUAGCUUUGCUCCAAGCCUUGGUCUUAUUAAUGCGCUGUUUGAUCUCACGAAGAGCGGCUUCUCUGGUUUGGUAUUAGUCCCUGCCAAGGUCCUUUGUCGGGAACGCUGUCAUCGUCCGUGCACAAAUCAGGGUUGCUAAGAACCCCGUUCUUAGUGCACCAACAGGAACCCCCGGGCCUGGUCCAUACGCGCAUCCGAGACGUUGUUGGGCUAGGCCCAAAAAUGUGCACGGACACACGUGGCGGAGGAUAACCGACAUAAUCUUUUGCUGCAAUAUGUAAUCAUGAUGGUUCCCGCUAACGCACGUCCAAUCCGCACAUUAAUCGUGAGGCGUGGGAACGUGGGUGUUGUUGCAGUUACCCGUCGUGGCAUGCGUGCGAGGCGCACAGCUAGGGAAGGUGGCGAAGAGCCAUCCCCCUCGCAUAUUCCCCAUAAAAAGGUAACCAUGAAAAAGGGGCGUUGCUCAUUCACUCUUGCCCUCCCCCGCUUCACCUUCCUCCUCUAGCCAAAAACCGCAUCUGCUGCCGCCACCGUUAUCGCCGCGGUCAAUCCGUCUUGACCCUAAUCUUCCCUCCUUCUCGAGCCCUUGAUGCGCCCAAGACAGCCGCCCCUAAGGGGAAGAAGGCGGCCAAACCGCUCGACCUCAAGGCGGAGCAAAAGAAGGAGUUGGAGAAACGCCAGCAGGAAAAUGUCAGCUUUUUGUCACCGACCUUGUCCGCCAACACCUUGAUUGAAAGGUAUGCAUAUAUGUGGGGGAAGGAGACCGAUAGCGAUGGAGCCCCCAAGGUUCCAGCCAAUUCCUACCCCUUCUUCUGUGCAUACUUCUACUGCGGCUUGCCGCCUCCGUACUCAGAUUUCUUCUGCGAGUUGAUGUCCACUUAUGGGUUCCGGCUGCUUGAUUUCACCCCCAACGCCAUGACAUGCAUGGCAGUCUUUGCCCAUUUCUGUGAGUAUUUCAUCGGGGUUAUGAUAAAUGUUUAUUAUUCAUGCUAGAACUGUAUUAACCGGAAACUAUAUACAUGUGUGAAUACAUAGACAAAACACCGUGUCCCUAGUAUGCCUCUACUUGACUAGCUCGUUGAUCAAAGAUGGAUAAGUUUCCUAGCCAUGGACAUGUGUAGUCAUUUGAUGAACGGGAUCACAUCAUUAGUGGAAUGAUGUGAUGGACAAUACCCAUCCGUCAGCUUAGCAUAAUGAUCGUUCAGUUUAUUGCUACUGCUUUCUUCAUGUCAAAUACAUAUUCCUCCGACUAUGAGAUUAUGCAACUACCGGACAUUGAAGGAAUGCCUCGUGUGCUAUCAAACACAAUGUAACUGGGUGAUUAUAAAGAUGCUCUACAGGUAUCUCCGAAGGUGUUUGUUGGGUUGGCAUAGAUCGAGAUUAGGAUUUGUCACUCCGAGUAUCGGGGAGGUAUCUCUGGGUCCUCUCGGUAAUGCACAUCAUAUGAAGCCUUGCAAGCAAUGUGAUUAAUGAGUUAGUUGCAGGAUGAUGCAUUACAGAACGAGUAAAGAGACUUGCCGGUAACGAGAUUGAACUAGGUAUAAAGAUACCGACGAUCGAAUCUCAGGCAAGUAACAUACCGAUGACAAAGGGAAUAACGUAUGUUGACACUGCGGUUCGACCGAUAAAGAUCUUCGUAGAAUAUGUGGGAACCAAUAUGAGCAUCAAGGUUCCGCUAUUGGAUAUUAACCGGAGAGGUGUCUCGGUCAUGUCUACAUAGUUCUCGAACCCGUAGGGUCCGCACGCUUAAUGUUCGAUGACGAUAUGUAUUAUAUGAGUUAUGUGUUUUGGUGACUGAAGGUUGUUCGGAGCCCCGGGUAAGAUCAUGGACAUGACAAGGAGUCUCGAAAUGGUCAAGAGGUAAAGAUUGAUAUAUUGGAAGGUAGUAUUCGGACACCGGAAGGGUUCCAGAGUGUAUCGGGUACAUACCGGAGUACCAGAGGGGUUACCGGAACCCCCCGGGAAAGAUAUGGGCCAUAUGGGCCAUAGGAGGGAGGCAAACCAGCCCAUGUAGGUGUGGCACUCCCCCCUCCCCAAGGGAGGAGUCCGAAUUGGACUAGGGGUGGGGGCGGCGCCCCCCUUUCCUUCUCCCUCUCCUACUCCUUCCCCCCUUUCCCCCUCCGGUAAAAUGAAGGGGGCGAAUCCCACUAGGAGUGCAAGUGGGACUCCUUCCCGCUUGGGGCGUGCCUAGGCCGGACUCUUCUCCCUCCCUCCUUUAUAUACAGGGGGCGCCCUAUGAGACAUACCAAUUGUUCCAAGACGUGUGCGGCGCCCCCCUCCACAGUUUACGCCUCCGGUCAUAUUCUCGCGGUGCUUAGGAGAAGCCCUGCACGGAUCACAUCACCAUCACUGUCACCACGCCGUCGUGCUGAUGGAACUCAUCUACUCUUUCGACCCUCUGCUAGAUCAAGAGCUCGAGGGACGUCAUCGCGCUGAAGGUGUGCAGAACUCAGAGGUGCCGUACGUUCGGUACUCGAUCAGUCGGAACGAGAAGACGUUCGACUACAUCAACCGCGUUAAGUAAACGUUUCCGCUUUCGGUCUACAAGGGUACAUGGACACACUCUCCCCCUCUCGUUGCUAUGCAUCUCCUAGAUAGAUCUUGUGUGUGCAUAGAUUUUUUUUGAAAUUGCAUGCUACGUUUCCCAACAGUGGCAUCCGAGCCAAGUUAUGGGCGGUGAUCGUCAUACUGCUUACCACCAAUGUCUUAUUUUGAUUCGGCGGUAUUGUUGGAUGAAGCGGCCCAGACCAACCUUACAUGACCAUGUUCAUGAGACCGGUUGCACCGACAGGCAUGCAACUAGUUUUGCAUAAAGGUGGCUGGCGGGUGUCUGUUUCUCCAACUUUAGUUGAAUCGAAUUUGACUGUGGUCGGUCCUUGUUGAAGGUUAAAACAACAAACUUGAUAAAUCACCGUUGUGGUUUUGUGCCGUAGGUAAGAACGAUUCUUGCUAGAAGCCCAUAGCAGCCACGUAAAACUUGCAACAACAAAGUAGAUGACGUCUAACUUGUUUUUGCAGGGCAUGCUUGUGAUGUGAUAUGGUCAAGACAUGAUGUGAUAUACGUUAUUGUAUGAGAUGAUCAUGUUUUGUAGAAGUUAUCGGUAAUUGGCAGGAGCCUUACGUUGUCGCUUUAUUGUAUGAAAUGCAAAUGCCAUGUAAUUGCUUUACUUUAUCACUAAGCGGUAGCGAUAGUUGUAGAAGCAAUAGUUGGUGAGACGACCACGACGCUACGAUGGAGAUCAAGGUGUCAAGCCGGUGACGAUGGAGAUCAUGACGUUGCUUUGGUGAUGGAGAUCAAAAGCACAAGAUGAUGAUGGCCAUAUCAUGUCACAUAUUUUGAUUGCAUGUGAUGUUUAUAUUUAUGCAUCUUAUUUUGCUUAGUACGGCGGUGGCAUUAUAAGAUGAUCCCUUACUAAAAUUUCAAGGUAUAAGUGUUCUCCCCGAGUAUGCACCGUUACGAAAGUUCUUUGUGCUGAGACACCACGUGAUGAUUGGGUGUGAUAAGCUGUACGUUCAAAUAUAAUGGAUGCAAGCCAGUUUUGCACAUGCGGAAUGCUCGGGUUAAACUUGACGAGCCUAGCAUGUACAGGCAUGGACUCGAAACACUAGAGACCGAAAGGUUGAACGUGAAUCAUAUAGUAGAUAUGAUCAACAUAGAGAUGUUCACCAUUGAUGACUACUCCAUCUCACGUGAUGAUCAGACAUGGUUUAGUUGAUUUGGAUCACGUAUCAUUUAGAUGACUUGAGGGAUGUCUAUCUAAGUGGGAGUUCUUAAGUAAUAUGAUUAAUUGAACUUAAUUUAUCAUGAACUUAGUCCUGAUAAUUUUUUGCAUAUCUAUGUUGUAGAUCAAUGGACCGUGCUACUGUUCCCUUGAAAUUUUAAUGUGUUCCUAGAGAAAGCUAAGUUGAAAGAUGAUGGUAGCAACUACAGGGACUGGGUCCGUAACUUAAGGAUUAUCCUCAUUGCUGCAUAGAAAAAAUAUGUCCUUGAUGCACCGUUGGGUGAGAGGCAUGCUGCAGGAGCAGAAGCUGACGUUGUGAACGUCUGACAAGCUCGAUCUGAUGACUACUCGUUAGUUCAGUGUGCCAUGCUUUACGACUUAGAAUCAGGACUUCAAAGAUGUUUUGAGUGUCAUGGACCAUAUGAGAUGUUCUAGGAGUUGAAGUUAAUAUUUCAAGCAAAUGCCGGAGUUGAGAGAUAUGAAGUCUCCAACAAGUUCUAUAGUUGCAAGAUGGAGGAGAACAGUCCUGUUAGUGAGCACAUACUCAGAAUGUCUGGGUACCAUAAUCACUUGACUCAGCUGGGAGUUAAUCUUCUAGAUGAUUGUGUCAUUGACAGAGUUCUUCAAUCACUGCCACCAAGCUACAAGGGCUUCAUGAUGAACUACAAUAUGGAAGGGAUGGAAAAGACUAUUCCCGAGCUCUUCACAAUGCUAAAGGCCGUAGAGGUAGAAAUCAAGAAGGAGCAUCAAGUGUUGACAGUUAACAAGACCACUAGUUUCAGUAAGAAGGGCAAGGGUAAGAAGGGGAACUUCAAGAAGAAUGGCAAGCAAGUUGUCACUCUCGAGAAGAAACCCAAAACUGGACCCAAGCUUGAAACCGAGUGCUUCUACUACAAAGGGACUGGUCACUGGAACCGGAACUGCCCUAAGUAUUUGGCGGAUAAGAAGGAUGGCAAAGUGAACAAAGGUAUAUUUGAUAUACAUGUUAUUGAUGUGUACCUUACUAAUUCUCCUAUUAGUGUCUGGGUAUUUGAUACCGGUUUGGUUGCUCAUGUUUGUAACUCGAAACAGGGACUAUGAAUCAAAUGAAGAUUGGCUAAGGACGAGGUGAAGAUGCGCGUCGGGAAUGGUUCCAAGGUUGAUGUGAUCGCCGUCAACACGCUACCUCUACAUCUACCUUCGGGAUUAGGUUUAGACCUGAAUAAUUGUUAUUUGGUGCUAGCGUUGAGCAUGAACAUUAUAUCUAGAUCUUGUUUAGUGCGAGAUGGUUAUUCAUUUAAAUCAGAGAAUAAUGGUUGUUCUAUUUAUAUGAGUAAUAUCUUUUAUGGUCAUGAACCCUUGAAGAGUGGUCUAUUUCUGUUGAAUCUUGAUCGUGAUGAUAAACAUAUUCAUAAUAUUGAUGCCAAAAGAUGCAAAGUUGAUAAUGAUAGUGAAACUUAUUUGUGGCACUGCCGUUUGGGUCAUAUCGGUGUAAAGCGCAUGAAGAAACUCCAUAAAUAUGGACUUUUGGAAUCACUUGAUUAUGAAUCAUUUGAUACUUGCAAACCGUGGCUUAUGGGCAAGAUGACUAAAACUCUGUUCUCCGGGACAAUGGAACGAGCCAAUGAAUUGGAAAUAAUACAUACGGAUGUAUGCGGUCCGAUGAGUGUUGAGGCUCGUGGCGGGUAUCGUUAUUUUCUGACCUUCACAGAUCAUUUAAGCAGAUAUGGGUAUAUCUACUUAAUGAAACACAAGUAUAAAACAUUUGAAAAGUUCAAAGAAUUUCAGAGUGAAGUGGAGAAUCAUCGUAACAAGAAAAUAAAGUUUCUACGAUCUGAUCGUGGAAGUGAAUAUUGAGUUACGAGUUUGGCCUUCAUUUAAAACAAUGUGGAAUAGUUUCACAACUCACGCCACCUAGAACACCACAACGUAAUGGUGUGUCCGAACAUUGUAACCGCACUUUAUUAGAUAUGGUGCGAUAUAUGAUGUCUCUUACCAAUUUACCAUUAUCAUUUUGGGGUUAUGCAUUAGAGACUGUUGCAUUCACGUUAAACAGGGCACCCUCAAAAUCCAUUGAGAUGACACCAUAUGAACUAUGGUUUGGCAACAAACCUAAGCUGUUGUUUCUUAAAGUUUGGGGAUGCGAUGCUUAUGUAAAAAGGCUUCAGCCUGAUAAGCUUGAACCCAAAUCGGAGAAGUGCGUCUUCAUAGGAUACCCUAAGGAAACAAUCGGGUACACCUUCUACCACAUAUCCGAAGGCAAGAUCUUUGUUGCUAAGAACGGAACUUUUCUAGAGAAGGAGUUUCUCUCGAAAGAAGUGGGUGGGAGGAAAGUAGAACUUGAUGAGGUAACUGUACCUUCUCUCAAUUUGGAAAGUAGCUCAUCUGAGAAAUCCAUUCCUGUGAUGCCUACACCAACUGGAGAGGAAGAUAAUGAUAAUGAUCAUGAAACUUCAGAUCAAGUUGCUACAGAACCUUGUAGGUCAACCAGAGCACGAUCCACACCAGAGUGGUAAGGUAAUCCUGUUCUGGAAGUCAUGUUACUUGACCAUGACGAACCUAUGAACUAUGAAGAAGCUAUGAUGAGCCCAGAUUCCAAUAAAUGGCUUGAGGCCAUGAAACCUGAGAUAGGAUCCAUGUAUGAGAACAAAGUGUGGACUUUGGUGGAUCCGCCCGAUGAUCGGCGACCCAUAGAGAAUAAAUGGAUCUUCAAGAAGAAGACUAAUGUUGAUGGUAAUGUUACUAUCUAUAAAGCUCGACUUUUCACAAAAGGUUUUCGACAAGUUCAAAGAGUUGACUACGAUGAGACUUUCUCACCCAUAGCGAUGCUUAAAGUCUGUCCGAAUCAUGUUAGCAAAUGCUGCAUUUUAUGAUUAUGAAAUCUGGCAAAUGGAUGUCAAAACUGCAUUCCUUAAUCGAUUUCUUAAAGAAGAAUUGUACAUGAUGCAACCAGAAGGUUUUGUCGAUCCUAAAGGUGCUAACAAAGUGUGCAAGCUCCAGCGAUCCAUUUAUGGACUAGUGCAAGCAUCUCGGAGUUGGAAUAUACGCUUUGAUGAGGUGAUCAAAGCAUAUGGUUUUAUACAGACUUUUGGAGAAGCCUGUAUUUACAAGAAAGUGAGUGGGAGCUCAAUAGAAUUUCUAAUAUUAUAUGUGGAUGACAUAUUGUUGAUCGAAAAUGAUGUAGAAUUUCUGGAUAGCAUAAAAGGAUACUUGAAUAAAAGUUUUUCAAUGAUAGACCUUGGUGAGGCUUCUUAUAUAUUGGGCAUCAAGAUCUAUAGAGAUAGAUCAAGACGCUUGAUAGGACUUUCACAAAGCACAUACCUUGAUAAAGUUUCGAAGAAGUUCAAAAUGGAUCAGUCAAUGAAAGGGUUCUUGCCUGUGUUACAAGGUGUGAAGUUGAGUCAAACUCAAUGCCCGACCACUACAGAAGAUAGAGAGAAUAUGAAAGUCAUUCCCCAUGCCUCAGCCAUAGGUUCUAUCAUGUAUGCUAUGCUGUGUACCAGCUGAUGUGUGCCUUGCUAUAAGUUUAGCAGGGAGGUACCAAAGUAAUAUAGGAGUGGAUCACUGGACAACAGUCAAUAACAUCCUGAAGUACCUGAAAAGGACUAGGGAUAUGUUUCCCGUUUAUGGAGGUGAAAAAGAGCUUGGCGUAAGUGGUUACAUCGACGCUAGCUUUGACACUGAUCCGGAUGACUCUAAGUCACAAACCGGAUAUGUAUUUUUAUUGAAUGGUGGAGCUAUAAGUUGGUGCAGUUCUGUCGGUGUUCUGGGAACGGGGGUCCCCAGACUUGCCUGCCUGCGGCCUGCGGCGUGGCUCAAGGGGUGGCCCAGUACGGCCCAUCUUCAUCAACUCAAGCUCAAGACCCUCGCGAGGGUCCAAACCUUGCGGGACGGACGACGAAAGGCUUCCUCAGGAGCGGCCUCACCAGGAAGGCUCGCGAGGAGGCGGAGAGAUCAAGGCAGGGGUACCUCGCGAGGUGCUCGUGAAGCAAGCUGUGACGAUCGAGACCAGGCGGGCGUCGCCUUGUGUAGUGUCCUUGUUUCCUCUUUGGUGCAAAGGGGGCAAGGACAGGCGCGGAGUACCGAGGCAUCAGGCAAAAGGUUACCAUUUUGGUGCAACGAGACCAAGACCAGCAGAGCGGUAGGAUGGAGGUCAUCGUGGAGCCCAGGACGGCGUCAUCGCCAGUACCUUUGGCAGCCGAAGACCAACUUUAGUCAGGAUAACUUGUACUAGAUGUUCCCCUUCAAAAUGGCCGUUGUUGGCGCCCUUCCCGCUCAAUAUUUGGGAAGAGGACCAGGGCCUCUAUAAAUAGGGCUAGCCACCACAGUAGAGGACAAUCUUAUCGAGAUCAUCAGGAUCUAAGCCAAAGCCAUCGAGAGCGGAUCGAACCCUUCUCAGGCAAACCACUACCACAAGAACACCUCUCGCGAGGCUGUUCUUCCCUUGUACUGUUCAUCCUCAGCCCCUGAGGCAAUACACCACACCACACACUGGAGUAGGGUAUUACACCACAACGGUGGCCUGAACCAUUAUAAAUCUUGUGUCCCUCGUGUUGUUCAUCGUUGUAGCUUAGAUUCUCAGCGAGGUGUUGGAAUGUGGAUCGGUAGGGGGAAGACCUUCAUGCGCACCCCAGAGUUCGAACCUUAAGGGUUUUGCCGGAACCCGAUAUCCGACAUUUGGCGCGCCAGGUAGGGGUGCGCUGGAGCUCUCCCUUCCGUCGACCCGCUCUUCGUCAACAUCGCGCUUCGUCCUCAUGGCGGACAGUGCGCCGCCCGCUCCGGCUACCGACGCCGGCCCUGGGGCUAGGGGGCUCUGAGCCAUGGCCCCCGCCUUGCAACAGGUGCAGUGGCCGAACAAGUUCAAGCCAGACAUGCCGCCGCGUUACGACGGCGUGGCGGACCCGCUAGCUUUCCUGCUGGCAUAUGAGGAGGCCGUCCUCAAGGCCGGGGGCGACGACAUGGUCAUGGCUAACUGGUUGCCCAUGGCCCUCACCGGCCUCCCGCGCAUGUGGCUGCUCCACCUGCCAGCGGCUUCGGUGGCCUCCUGGGAGGAGCUGCGCAACCUCUUCCUCGCCCAUUAUGCUGCGCCUGUGCCCCCGGUCGUUGCAGCUCUCCUGGGCGGCUCACAAGCCCCACCCUCGAGCCGCCACGUCAAGCCGUUCGUCCGCCAGAUCGGCGCCGCACUCAAGUGCCACGAAGCCCCCCCGGGCUGGGUGACACCCAAGGCCGACUUGACCUUCAGCUCGGACGAUCACCCCUCCAACACCACUUGCUUGGGCGCGCUCCCGAUGCUAUGCACCCCCACCAUCUGCCAGGUGGCCGUCACCAGGACCCUCACCGAUGGCAGUGCCAGCCUCAACAUGCUCUCGGUGGAGGCCUUCAGCCUCCUCCACGUGCCGCUGGAGCGACUCCAACCCAGCAGGCCCUUCUCGGGCGUCGGAGGCAGUUCCACCGACUCCCUAGCACAGAUCCGCCUCCCGGUGACCUUUGGCACCCAUGACAACUUCCGCACGGAGCUGGUCGACUUCGACAUCGCCGCCAUUGGCCUCCCGUAUAACACCGUCCUCGGCUACCCAGCCUUGGCCCAGUUCAUGGCGGCGACUCACCCAGCCUACAACCUCAUGAAGAUGCCGGGAGCAGCGGUGUCCUCACCGUGUUUGGAGAUACAAAAGAUGCCCUGCAGGCACUCAGGCUUGCCUUCAAGGCGGCCUCCUUGGCGCAACCUGCUGGCGCUUGCACCCUCGAGGCCAAGGGGGCUGCGCCAAGCAAGAAGAAGCAGUUGUUCACCCAAGACAAGGCGGAGACCAAGCAAGCGUCGGUCGAUGAGGAUGGAUCCUCCGGCGCCACCUUCACCAUAGGCGCCAAUCUCAACCCCGAACAAGAAGAGGCCUUGGUGAAGUUCCUGCGCGCGAACAAGGAGGUGUUCGCAUGGGAACCCGAGCAGCUAGCGGGGGUUCCAAGGGAGGUGAUUGAGCAUCAUCUAAACGUGUGCCCCAAUGUGCACCCCGUGAAGCAGAAGGCAAGGAGACAAUCCACCGAAAAGCAGGCCUUCAUCAUCCAAGAAACCCAUAAGCUUGAAGUUGCGGGUGUCAUUCGCGAAGUUCGUUAUCCUGAAUGGCUGGCCAACCCUGUUGUUGUGCUGAAGAAGGGGGGAAAGGAGUGCAUGUGCAUCGACUUCACUGAACUCAACAAAGCCUGCCCUCAAGACCCGUUCCCGCUCCCUCGCAUUGACCAGAUCGUCGAUUCCACCACCGAGUGCGACCUGCUGUGCUUCCUGGAUGCCUUCUCUGGCUAUCACCAGAUCAAGAUGGCGGUAGAAGACAUGGAGAAAACGGCCUUCCUGACCCCAUGCUGGGUGUACUGCUACACCUGCAUGCCGUUCGGGUUGUGCAACGCAGGCGCAACCUUUCAGCGACUGAUGCAUAUCGCCUUGGGCCGGCAGCUCGGGGGAAACGUAGAGGCCUAUGUUGACGACAUCGUGGUAAAGUCUUGGGAGGCCAAAACCCUGAUACAGGACCCAGAAGAAACCUUCGCGAGCCUUCGCGAGGUGGACCUGCGGCUCAACCCGGAGAAGUGCGUGUUCGGUGUUCCUUCUAGCAAGCUUCUGGGCUUCCUUGUGUCCCACAGAGGUAUUGAGGCUAACCUGGAGAAAGUCAAGGCAGUCGACGACAUGAGCCCACCGCAAACCCUCAAGGAAAUGCAGAAGCUCACUGGGCGAGUGACCGCAUUAGGGCGCUUCAUCUCCAAGCUGGGGGAACACCCCCUGCCCUUUUUCAAGCUGAUGAAGAAGAAGGGUCCACUCGAAUGGACUCAAGAGGCUGACAAAGAGUUCCAUGACCUCAAGAAGUACCUGAACAGCCCACCAGUGAUGGUGGCUCCAUGCCCUCGGGACCCCUUGGUUCUCUACCUUGCCGCCACACCCUACUCCGCCAGUGCAGCUCUAGUGGCGGUACGGGAGGAGCGUCAGGUCAAGGUUGUGCCACGACCGGCCACGGCCCCGGCCCCGGCAGCACAAGACUAAGAAGGCCUCGCGAAGACCACGGUCGCAGCAGAUGGAGGCCAGCCUCAACAGGGGGACGCCCCCAAGGCUGAAGAGGCCGCACCAGGCAGCCAGGGGCUGGGGGCUCCAUCGUCUCAGGAGGCGCCUGACCCUUCAGAGGGCACCGACCUCACCAGCACGCCUACCCUCGUCGAGCACCCAGUGUAUUUCAUUAGCACAGUGCUGCGAGAUGCGAGGGAACGAUACCCCAUGCCUCAGAAGCUCUUGCCCGCACUAUUAGUGGCCUCGCGCAAGCUACGACACUACUUUCAAGGUCACCCCAUCAAGGUCAUCUCGGCAUAUCCAUUGGAAAGGGUACUCAGGAGUCCCAACUCAGUGGGAAGGGUCGCCGAAUGGAACAUCGAGUUGCAAGCGUUUCAGUUGGAAUUCAGCACGACAAGGGUCGUCAAAGGAGCCACACUUGCAGAUUUUGUGGCAGAAUGUAUAGAGGUGCCAGGGCUUGAAGCAGGCAAAGAUCGGUCACUUUCCCCAGGAGUGAGGCGCCGGACGGCUGGGUCAUGUACUUCGAUGGAGCAUUCUCGCGACAUGGCGCGGGGGCUGGCGCAGUGCUUAUAUCUCCCACUCAGGACAAGCUCUAUUACGCCGUACAACUCUGUUUCCAACAUGGAGAGAAGGUCUCCAACAACAUAGCAGAAUAUGAGGGCCUGAUAGCAGGCUUGAAGGCUGCAGCGACCUUGGGGGUAGAGCGCCUCAUCAUCAAGGGUGAUUCACGGCUCCUCGUCAACUUCUCCAACAAGAUGUACGAGCUAAAGGACAAGCACAUGGAAGCAUAUCUCGCGGAGGUCCGCAGAAUGGAAAAGCAGUUUUGGGGGUUGGAGUUGCAGCAUGUGCCCCGCGGCACCAAUCAAGAGGCUGAUGACAUCGCCAGGAGGGCGUCCAGGCAGCUGCCUCAAGAGCCCGACGUCUUCAAGGAACGACUCUUCAAGCCCUCAGCAGCACCGUCACUAUCAAGUGCAGCGCAGCCUCGGGAGGAACUCCCUCAACCACCAGCCUCAGGAGCUCCGGCCUGUGGCCCGACCUCAGGAGCAUGCUUGCUCCUGGUGCUGGAGCCUCUGGAGGGAUGUUGGACUGCGGAACUCAAGGAUUACCUGAUGCAAGGGACUCUGCUAGAGAAGGAGGAGGACGCGGAACGCGUGGCGCGGCAGGCCACAGCAGGCCACGGCCUACUGCAUCCAAGAUGGAGAGCCCUACCGGAAGCGGCCAAAUGAUGUUUCCCUAUGUUGCAUCUCCAGGGAGCAGGGGAAAAAGUUGCUGGCAGACAUUCACGGUGGAGACUGUGGGCAACACUCUGUCGGCGUCCUGGGAACGGGGGUACCCAGACAUGCCUGCCUGCGGCCUAUGACGUGGCUCAAGGAGUGGCCCAGUACGGCCCAUCUUCAUCAACACAUGCUCAAGACCCUCGCGAGGAGCCAAGCCUCGCGGGGCGGACGACAGGAAGCUUCCUCAGGCACAGCCUCGUCAGGCUGGCUCGCGAGGAGGCGGAGAGAUCAAGGCAGGGUACCUCACGAGGUUCCCGUGACGCAAGUCAUGAUGACCAAAGCCAGGCGGGUGCCAGGCGGGCGCCGGCCAGCGCAGAGUCCUUGUUUCCUCUUUGGUGCAAAGCGGGCAAGCGCGGGCGAGAGUAUCAAGCAAAGGCAACCAUUUUGGUGAAACAAGACCAAGACCAGCAGCACGGCGGGAUAGAGGUCAUCGUGGAGCCCAAGCCGGCGUCACCGUCAGAGUCUUUGGUAGGCGAGGACCAACUUUAGCCAGGAUAAGUGUACUAGAUGUUCCCCUUCAAAAUGGCCAAUUGUUGGAGCCCUUUCCGCUCAAUAUUUGGGAAGAGGACCAAGGCCUCGCUCUAUAAAUAGGACUAGCCACUCUCAAGGCAAGGGGUCGACCAAUCGAACCUUAGCCAGAACCACCAACACAAGAACCCCUCCCCUCGCGAGGCCGUUCUUUCUUUGUAUUGUUCAUCAUCAGCCCCUGAGGCAAUCCACCACACCACAAACUAGAGUAGGGUAUUACACCACAAUGGUGGCCGGAACUAGUAUAAACCUCGUGUCCCUUGUGUUGUUCUUCGUGUAGUGUAGAUUCUUGCGAGGCGACGAGACAUGAGUAGGUAGGAGGUGAGAUCUCCGCGCGCACCCCAGAGUUCAAACCUUGAGGGUCUACCGGAACCCGAAAUCCGACAUUUGGUGUGCCAGGUAGGGGUGCGCCGGAAUCCUUCUCCCACCGCCUCGCGUACCGUCGCAUCGUCGCCAUCAUGUCCGGCGACCCAACGGGCAAUCCCGAUCCCUGGGCGGCCUGGCCUGCCCGCACAGAGCCGCUUGCCCAGGGCGACCUCAACCCCGUGCCCCAGGCAGCCCGCGGUCCGCAGGGCAUUGCGGGCCGCGGGUGACGCGGUCAGGCGGCACCAGCUCUCACGCCGCGGCAGGUGCAGUCGGCAGCGAGGGCCUCAAGCCACGCCGCGGCCACGGCGCCAUACACCUGGCGGGAGCAGGCGAACUUAAGGGCCGCGCUCACGGUGGCCCGAGAGCUACUGCAAUGCAGGCUGCUGGAGGGCGGCCACGACGUGCUACUGGAGCGGGUGGCAGAGCUCCUGGGCUCCGCCGCCUCGGGGGCUCACCCCUUCUGCACCCAGCUGCCGCCUCAGGUCCAAGGCGGACCACAUGAAGGCCCCGCACGCGCCCGCACAGCUCCAAGCGGAUUCCAAGGCCGCCCCAACGCCAACUUGGCCAUCAGCGCCGGGCUACCAACAGUGCCGCCUCCGCCUCCAACCAGUGAAGGGGGAUUCACUACAGCCCAUGGCCCCGGUGGGCCGCCGCGCUACCUUCCCCAGGUGGGCACCUCAAGCAGGACCGCGUGGCACACGGGGCACUAGAGCGAGGCAUUCGGGGUGGCGGCCCCGGAAGCGUAUGUGCCCCACAUGGUGGAUCAAGGGCACGCGUAGGAGGAAGACCAUGGCUCGUUCCUCGGCCCAGGCUGGGGGGAAGAGACGCCGGAAGCUGAGCUCUUUCAGGAGCCCCGGGAAAGCCUGGUCAACCGCGCUGGAGGUAACGACUAUCGGGUACCGCUAAUUCCUCAGGAACAGGCAUACGCUAACCAUGGAUCACAGGAGGUACAGGUCGUCGCAGCGGACGGCUGCCCCAAUCCAGCAGCUUCCUACCCCUCAGGAGGAGGGUACCGCGGGCUGCAGGAAAGGGGUCGAGAUUCGGCCUCACCCCACGGCGCUCGGAGCAAGGCGUCCUCAGGAGGUAGGCCCUCUGCCGGGGAGGUGCCUCAGGGCCUACCCCCGGCAGAGGACCCGUGGUCGUGGGGGGAACCGCUGGCGACCGCUCUAUCCCAUCGGCAGUGUCCUCGGUCUCCGGCCAUCAUCGAUGGCAAUAGAGUGUGGAGCAAGGCGGGGCCCUCGUCUGGCGAUAUGAAGUAAGGCCGAUACCUGUGAAGAAGGCCCAGUGCCUGUGAAGCUCGCCGCCCCAUGACACUCUCACGUAAUAAUGAGUGGGGCUGUACACGCCUCGGAGUCUCCGGAGAGCCGCCCUCAGGCCUCGGGGGCUCCCGCCCACGCCCAGUGGCAGCACUUAGCUCCGCGCUGGUGAGAAGACGUCGAAGACUAUACUAGGUGCCGGACGCGGCCUUUCUGCCUUUUUGCCUUUCCCUUGGUUGUCGUUUUCCCCAUGUUUGAAUUUAAGUUGGAUUUGAGCUUGAGACUUGCGUGUGUUCGGGGAAGGGGUGUUUAGUCUCAUUCGAGCAAUCUCUCGUGUUCUGGCUACCGCUUUGCAUCCCUCUAGCUUCAGAUGCCUCCCCUCGUGAGCCCCUCGCGAGUCGGGCCAAGCCCAGCAUGCGUGCAGCCCGGGCUGCCGUCACCGCGCCGUCUCAGGAGGUUCUCACUAAAGGCUCAAUGGGUUCAUUGAGGAGACACUCGGGACAUCGCGGCCCCCCGCGGACUCGCUCAGGACCCAUGCGAGUCGAAGGUAAACAAGACAAUUGACUCAUCACGAGACCAACCGCUCGGUGUAGGCAUGCAGGCGACAUCAUGUAUACAAAAAUGCUAACUGCAAGUUUUUACACGAGGGGCUCCCCCUCCCAAAAUGCUCUUACAACCUUCAGGGCCAAGCAGGAACUCUCUCUGCGCAGGGUAAAAAGCAGGAAUAACGCACGGUCAAUCGGAUAAAUCCCCCAAUGCAUCCUCAGGGGCACCUCCGGAGUCGUCACUAGCGUCGCUAGCCUCACCAUUGCCCUCUGCAUCGCCGUCAUCAGCAUCCGGGCCAUUCACCACGCCGCCCUCGCCAGCAACCACGACCACGCCGUCGUCAUCGGAGGUGAAGGCCCUAACAAGGGCGUCCACAUUGUCUUCCACCCAAUGCGCCAGGUCACCCCGGAUGGCCAGGGGUACCGGUGCGAUGGCGGCUUCGAAGUCAAAAUGGGGGUCCCUGUCCUGAAGAUGACUGAAGACGCGAGAAAAAGCACGUCCAAGCAGGGCACGACUCCUCUCCUCCACCAACCUGUCGGCUCUGCCCGACCGAGUCUCUAGCUGCGUCACCACAUCAGUCAAGAACUAAAGGUUACCAGCAUAGUUAACCUCAUGAGGCUCCCCAACGGCUGCCUCGCAGAUGUUGCCCAAGGCCGUGUUAGCUCUCUCCCGGAGCGUGCGGAGCAUGGGGCCAUGCAUGUGCUCCAAGGUCUGCCGCUGGUGUAUCUCAUCCUCAUUCCGCCGUGCGACGGCCUCAGCCACGUCAACCCUUUAACAGAGGAGGAGCACCUCGGCGCAGGAAGAAGCCAGCUCCACCUGCGCUGCGCCAAGGGCGGCCCCGGCGGCAUCCGUACACCGCGUCGCUUCAUCCAGCCUGGCCUUAAGGACGGCGGUCCUGCCCUCUGCUUCGACCCUGAUCAGCUCCAGCCUUUCCCUGUACUCGCGCUCGAGGUUCGAGCGAGCCUCCGCCACCCGACGGUCAACCUCUUCUUGGGCCCGGGCUUCCCACGCGGCGACAUUGUCCUCCGCCUGCGCCACCAGGCGCUCCCUCGUCUCCAACCGCUCGAGGUCAAGGGUGCGCUCAGCGGCCUCCUGCGUCAGUGCCUCCUCACAUCUCUGGAGCUCCGCCUGGUCAACCGAAGCCCCCUUCAUAGACGCAAGGGCCGCCUCAUGCAGCUCCACCUGCUGCUCCAGGGAGCUACUCCAGGCUUGGAGCUCCCACGCCCGCUCCUCUGCAGCCUUGCGCCGCUGGUCAGCCUCCCGGGCCUCCUCGACGCCCUGGGAGCAGGCCUCUCGAGAAGCCGCCAGCAGCGCCUCGGCCUUCGCAUUGUCGAGGUCACGCUGGUGGCGCGCAAGGGCAAUGGCCACCUUCAGCUUGCGCCUCUCCUCAGCUAGGCGCAGGCCCUCGGCCUCAAGGCGCGCGUCCUCGACGGCAAGCUCUACACCGAGCUGGCUCACUGCAUCAGCCGCCCUCUGGAGAAACCCUUGGUGAAGGGCGCGGCACUCCCGAGCACGCUUGACCACGUCUUCCGCAUCGUUCUCCACCCUUGGCGUGCACGGAGGGCCACGAACCAGCACGCCCCCUCUAGGCAGGGGGCUGGAGGCCGGCGCCCUCGUGAUGGCCGGGCGCGCCCCGCCUGGAGCCUGGCUCGGAGCCGGUUCGUCCUCCAAGGAAGAAUACGAGACCGACCUCAGCCAGUCGCCGUCCAUGACCAAAGGAAGAGCCCGGGGUAGGCUAGCUGUGCCCUAGGAGAGCUCGCGAAGGAGGGUCGCGAGGUGCACAGAAUCAGGAUGCUCUGCAAGAUGGCUCACCUCUCCAACCGACUUCACAACAAGGGCAGUACUUGAGCUCGAGACGCUUGGGGUCGGUGGAGAGGGUGAGGCCUGGGGAGAUGGCCCCUCGGCCGUCGCCAUGAACUCGGCAGGAAGGGCCCUGCAGGGCAAUGGUCUACUGAAGCAACAGGAAAGUAAGGGACUAAGAAAGGAGAAGGCUUACUCAUCAAUGGCGAAGUACUUCCUGCGAUUCAAUAGGCGGCAGGGGUAAUCAUCACCACCCAAGGCCUCCCUUCUCUUUCGGAGAGCCUCGAAGUCCAUGUAGAAGCGGCCUAGGAGCUCGGCGCAAGGGUCAGUCUGCGGCGAGGAAGAAGCACCAAGGUUACCGGCGUCGGGGACAUUACCCUGGCGCAUGCCGCCAGACGCCACCCCGUUGAGGGUGGCCGGGGCCUCAGGAGCCUCUGCCACGGAAGCCGCGGGCCGCGGCUCAACGCCUUCGUCCGCCGUAGGGAAGGCCUCAGAAACUGCCACCUCAGGAGUUCCGCGCGACGUCAUUAUCCCGACGGCAGCCCCCUCAGCCCCCGGUGGCCCUUGCCUCCCAGCUCCACCACUCGAGGAAGGACUGCCGCGGGCAACCGGGAGGGCAACCACAACAAUUGGGUUCUCACGAGGUCCCAUGAGGCCUGCUGGGAGCAGCCCCCAUUCAUCGAAGAUGGGCAUCUGCUUCACUAAAUCAGCCCUGCCUGAGCAAAGGUAUAGCAAGACGCCCCCUUGCCGAAGGCUGCCAGGGGAAGGGUCCCCAGUCAGAAUCAUGAGAACCUUCCUCAGCAUUUCAGGCGCCAGAUCUUCCUUCUAGAGCCUCAUGCAGUCUUCACACCCCCCGAAGGUCCACAUCCGGUGGGAAUGAUGUGGGAGAGGGGCAAUGCGGCUCUGGAGGAACUCCUUCACCACCUUGGGAGCCGUCACACCGAGCGCCCUCAAGUUGCCGAAGCAACACCAGACGAAGGCGAGCCGGGGGCUCGUGAGCGUCUCAUGGCCCCAGCCCGAGUUGGGGACAGCGGGCAAGGUUGGCUCCGAGAGCAGGGGGCUGGGCACUCCGACAUCCAUGUACAACCACCGCUCUCGGAACCCAGUCACAGGCGGAGGAAGGCUGAAAUCAAUCCCUGAGGCUGCUGCUUACGGUGCGGCGAGGAAGCUCACGCACCCCGAGCAUUGGGUGGGGUUGCUGAGGUGCAAAGAGAAGAAGUGGCGCAACAAGGCAACUGAAGGAGGAAUGCUCACCAUCGCCUCGCAAACAAAAGCGAAGACGCCAAGGAGAGCAAUGGAUUCGGGACCCAAAUGCAUCAUGUGAAUCUGGUAAUGGGAAAGUACGGCGUUGAAGAAAUCGGAAAAGGGGGGAACCAGUCCCACCCACAGGGCAUCAGUGAAGUACCGGACCUCGGUGACUAUUCUGUCAAUGGAGAAGUGAGACGCGGGCCAGACCGUCAUCCUCCCACACUUAUUGAAGGUGGUGGCAAGGGCGAAACUGACCUUGCCCAAGGCUUCCAGAUUGAGUAUGAUCGACUGAUCGACAGCAGGAGCCGCCGACGGUGGCGAGCGGGGUGAGGGCACAUGGUUCUUCCCUUUCCCCUUCUUCGUUGGCACCAUGGUGACAGGAAGGGAGAGGGUUCGAGAUUGGAUUGGAAGCGGAGGUUGGAGCUCAGGGGGAAGAAGAGCAGGGGACGCAUGAGCGACAAGAAGAGGGAUGACUGUGUGCAACUGCGGGCCCGCCUAGCCGGGCGCAAAAUAAGGAGGCAUGGGAAAACAGGGACGCCCGCGCCCAAUCAACCGCCACGCGGCGCCCAAGGCCGCAGGCUAUUGGGGCCCACGGCGCUUCGCACUUGCCCCUUCGCUUCUCUGCUAAGCCAAUUCCAGGCGCGCCUUGGGCCAGGGGGCUACUGUCGGCAUUCUGGGAACAGGGGUACCCAGACUUGCCUGCCUGCGGCCUACGGCGUGGCUCAAGGAGUGGCCCAGUAUGGCCCAUCUUCAUCAACACAUGCUCAAGACCCUCGCGAGGAGCCAAGCCUCGCGGGGCGGACGACAGGAGCUUCCUCAGGCUAGCUCGUGAGGAGGCGGAGAGAUCAAGGCAGGGUACCUCACGAGGUUCCCAUGACACAAGCCAUGACGACAAAGCCAGGCGGGCGCCAGGCGGGCGCCGGCCUGCGCAGAGUCCUAGUUUCCUCUUUGGUGCAAAGGGGGCAAGCGCAGGCGAGAGUAUCAAGCAAAGGCAACCAUUUCGGUGCAACAAGACCAAGACCAGCAGAACGGCAGGAUGGAGGUCAUAGUGGAGCCCAAGCCGGCGUCACUGUCAGAGUCUUUGGUAGGUGAGGACCGACUUUAGUCAGGAUAAGUGUACUAGAUGUUCGCCUUCAAAAUGGCCAAUUGUUGGCGCCCUUUCCGCUCAAUAUUUGGGAAGAGGACCAAGGCCUCGCUCUAUAAAUAGGACUAGCCACUCUCAAGGCAAGGGGUCGACCAAUCGAACCUUAGCCAGAACCACCAACACAAGAACCCCUCCCCUCGUGAGGCAGUUCUUUCUUUGUAUUGUUCAUCAUCAGCCCCUGAGGCAAUCCACCACACCACAAACUAGAGUAGGGUAUUACACCACAAUGGUGGCCCGAACUAGUAUAAACCUCGUGUCCCUUGUGUUGUUCUUCGAGUAGUUUAGAUCCUUGCAAGGCGACGAGACGUGAGUAGGUAGGAGGUGAGAUCUCCGCGCGCACCCCAGAGUUCGAACCUUGAGGGUCUGCCGGAACUCGAAAUCCGACACACUCGUCGUCACAGACCCUUGGCGGCAAGGCGUUUCACAGCGGGUCCUAUUGGCCUACGGCACUCAAUGACGCAAUCGAGCUAGUGAAGGCUCGUGAAGCCUGUGAAUUCCACGCCAAGCAGAUUCAUCAGCUGGCUCAGGGCCUGCAGACCAUUCCACUCACAUGGCCGUUCACGGUUUGGGGGCUGGACAUUUUGGGCCCGCUUCCCCGGGCGCCAGGGGGCUAUCGCUACCUCUGCUUCGCCAUUGACAAGUUCACCAAAUGAGCAAAGGUGGAAGCUGUUCGCACCAUCCCAGCUGGUUCAGCAGUCAAGUUCAUCAAGGGCCUCGUGAGCCGGUUCGGGGUGCCUAGUCGCAUCAUCACUGACAACGGUUCGCAGUUCACCAGCAAUCUCUUCAAAACAUAUUGUGCUAACCUUGGAACGCAGAUAUGCUACGCUUCGGUGGCACACCCUCGGAGCAACGGCCAGGCUGAACGUGCCAACGCAGAGGUCCUGAAAGGCCUCAAAACCAGGACCUUCAAGAAGAAGCUGGAGGCCUGCGGCAGGGGCUGGUACAACGAGCUCCAGUCUGUGCUGUGGUCCAUCCGCACAACCGGUACCAAGUCAACCGGCGAAACCCCGUUCUUCCUCGUCUACGGAGCAGAGGCGGUCCUCCCUCACGAGGUCAGGCGUCACUCCGCGCGGGUCCUGGCAUUUGACGAAGCGCAGCAAGACGCCAUGCGGGGGAUGGAUCUCGUGCUGGGGGAGGAACACCGUUGGGAGGCCGUGCUUCGAGCGGCAAGAUACCAGCACGCGCUGCGGCGGUACCAUUGCCGCAACAUCCGCCCCAGGACUCUCAAGGUAGGUGACCUCGUGCUCAGGCGGGUGCUCUCCAGGGCAGGGUUGCACAAGCUCUCGCCCAUGUGGGAGGGCCCGUUCAAGGUUGUUCAUGUUUCCAGACCUGGUGCUGCGCGCUUGGAGACCCAGGAGGGGGUGCCCAUCCCGAACGUGUGGAACAUUCAGCACCUCCGAAGAUUUUACCCUUGAAGUAAGGCCCGGUGCUUGUAAGGAAGGCCCAACACCUGUGAAGCUCGUCGUCCCAAGGAAAGGGCCAGUGCCUGUUAAGAAGGCCCAGUGCCUGUGAAGCUCAUCGCCUCAAGAAAAGGACCGAUGCCUGUGAAGAAGGCCAAUGCCUGUGAAGAAGACCAAUGCUUGUGAAGCUCGCCGCCCGUGACACUCUCAUGUAAUAAUGACUUGGGGCUGUACACGCCCCGGAGUCUCCGGAGUGCUGCCCUCGGGCCUCGGGGGCUCCCUCCCAUGCCCAGUGGCAGCACUUAGCUCCACGCUGGUGAGAAGACGUCGAAGACUAGAUUAGGUGCCGGACACGACUUUUCAUUUGCUUUCUGCAGUUGGCUUGUUCGUCCUUGUUUGAAACUUUAUUGGAGUUGCUUUUAGCGUUGUUUGCCGUCCCCAGCCCGUGAUCCUCUACUUUUGUUGCCCUCCUGACACGUCUUCUCUUCCGCAAGCCUCGCGAGGGGGCUGCGCGGGCGCCCUCGCGAGUAUCUUCUGACCUAAUUUCGUGAGGCUUCCCUGCUCAAGUUCACAGUGGGAGCACUCCUCCCGAUACAUGCCCCACGGGCAUCGCGACACGAACAUAGGACCUGAGCCAGUCACCCUCACGACUGGGGUUCAAAAGCUAUCCAUCCGGCUAAUUUUUUGCAGGCCUCAAGACGCUCGACAAGGCCUUAGGCAGGAGCCUCGUGAGGCGAAGACUGCAGCGAGUCCCCCCGAGCUAAGUUGUUCCUAUGCAUGAGCACGCAAUACCGUAACACGACAUGGGAAUAAUGGAAAUAGCAUGAUAAUUGAAGGCAACAGUCCAGGACGCCCCCACAGGGCUCCACACUUCUCUCUCUCUCUCUAUGCAGGAAAAUGAGAAUAAAUAAAUAAACACAGCUUGCCAAGCGACGACUCGCAGAGGGGAUUCGCACCAUCCUCUGGAGCUCAAUCAGACCCCUCCUCAUGCUUCACCGAGGCGCGACGGUGGGAUGACCUGCUACCCCCCUCGAAGUGAGCACGGUGGCGCGGUGGUUGAUCACGGCCGCCACUGGAGGAGCUGUCCUUAGAGGGGGAGCCGCUAAAGCUUGGCGAGUUGCGGACGCCGCCAGGCAUGGGCUCGCCUUCGUCUUCGUCACGGCCGUCGCCGAGGCUAAGCACCCGGUCGCUGUCAUCAUCUUCAGGUUAGCACCCAGAACGGCGGCCAUCCUCUCUGAACACCCUCACGUAGAGGGUGGAGUCACCGUUGAACUUGAAAUGCAGGGUGCACCGCCGGCCCAGGCCGCGCGCGCGGGCAAACGUCUGGAAGCCGGGGGGCCAAGGCCACGUUUCUGAUAACGGAGACCUCCACCGCCACCCAGGAGGCCCUACUGCAGCAGCCGUCCGCCUGAAGCCAGAGCCCACCAGUGGCACUGGCCGGCAGUUCACCGGCGAAGAAGUGGGGGAGCUGAAGCCAGUUGCCGGCCGGAUCCGCCGACCAAAUGACAAAACUCUGGCAGCACCUCUGUUGAGUGAAAGCACGAGCGGGGAGGCCACGCAGCCACGACGCAUCUUCCCCCGCCAAUCGAGCGACCUUCACCAUGCAAAGGACCUCUACCGCGAUCACGGGCAGCCACUGCGGGAGUCGCGGGGAGCUUGCAGGGACGACCUCGGCCGCGCUUGGGCGGAGGAGAGCCAGGCCCUUCCUGGCGAAACUUCCCCUUCUUUACGGCCGAAAACCUCUUCGUAGGCGCCAUGGGACACAACAAGCAGAUGGGGGAGGAGCAAGGAAGAAGGAGCAGAGCAAGAAGAGAUGGACUGCGGGGGCUCGCGGCCCCCUCGCAUUUAUAGCCCAAUGGAGGCCAACCACCGGCCUCCACGAUCACAGGUAAUCAUGACUCAUUUUUGCAUGCAAGGACUUGUCAAGUCGGGCAAUUGCCGAGGCGGCAUGGGGAAGAGGAGACGCCCACGUCCAAUCAACCGCCACGCGGCUACCAAGGCCACAGGCUGUUGGGGCCCGUGGCGCUCCGCACUUGCCCCUUCGCUUCUCUGCUAAGCCAAGUCCGAGCGCGCCUUGGGCUCGGGGGCUACUGUCGGUGUUCUGGGAACGGGGGUCCCCAGACUUGCCUGCCUGCGGCUUGCGGCGUGGCUCAAGUGGUGGCCCAGUACGGCCCAUCUUCAUCAACUCAAGCUCAAGACCAUCGCGAGGGGCCAAGCCUCGCAGGGCGGACGACGAAAGGCUUCCUCAGGAGCGGCCUCACCAGGCAGGCUCGCGAGGAGGCAGAGAGAUCAAGGCAGGGGUACCUCGCGAGGUGCUCGUGAUGCAAGCCGUGACGAUCGAGACUAGGCGGGCCCCAGCCUGCGCAGUGUCCUUGUUUCCUCUUUGGUGCAAAGGGGGAAAGCACAUGCGCGGAGUACCGAGGCAUGAGGCAAAUGUUACCAUUUCGGUGCAACAAGACCAAGACCAGCAGAGCGGUAGGAUGGAGGUCACCAUGGAGCCCAGGACGGCGUCAUCGCCAGUACCUUUGGCAGCCGAAGACCAACUUUAGUCAGGAUAACUUGUACUAGAUGUUCCCCUUCAAAAUGGCCAUUGUUGGCGCCCUUCCCGCUCAAUAUUUGGGAAGAGGACCAGGGCCUCUAUAAAUAGGGAUAGCCACCAUAGUAGAGGACAAUCUUAUUGAGAUCAUCAGGAUCUGAGCCAGAGCCAUCGAGAGCGGAUCGAACCCUUCUCAGGCAAACCACCACCACAAGAACACCUCUCGCAAGGCUGUUCUUCCCUUGUACUGUUUAUCAUCAGCCCCUGAGGCAAUCCACCACACCACACACUGGAGUAGGGUAUUACACCACAACGGUGGCCCGAACCAGUAUAAAUCUUGUGUCCCUCGUGUUGUUCAUCCUUGUAGCUUACAUUCUCAGCGAGGCGUUGGAACAUUGAUCGGUAGGGGGAAGACCUUCGCGCGCACCCCAAAGUUCGAACCUUAAGGGUUUUGUCGGAACCCGAUACCCGACAAGUUCCAAGAAGAGCGUCGUGGCGGGAUCUACAUGUGAAGCGGAGUACAUAGCUUCUUCAGAAGCAACAAAUGAAGGAGUCUGGAUGAAGGAUUUCAUAUCCGAUCUAGGUGUAAUACCUAGUGCAUCGGGUCUAAAGAAAAUCUUUUGUGACAAUACUAGAGCAAUUGCCUUGGCGAAGGAAUACAGAUUUCACAAAAAGACGAAACACAUCAAGAGACGCUUCAACUCCAUCCGAGAUUUUUUCAAGAAGGGAGACAUAGAGAUUUGCAAAAUACAUACGGAUCUGAAUGUGGCAGACCCGUUGACUAAGACUCUUCCACGAGCAAAACAUGAUCAGCACCAAGACUCCAUGUGUGUUAGAUUCAUUACAAUGUAAUCUAGAUUAUUGACUCUAGUGCAAGUGGGAGACUAAAGGACAUAUGCCCUAGAGGCAAUAAUUAAGUUGUUAUUUUAUAUUUCCUUAUUCAUGAUAAAUGUUUAUUAUUCAUUCUAGAAUUGUAUUAACCACAAACUUGAUACUUGUGUGAAUACAUAGACAAAACACCAUGUCCUUAGUAUGCCUCUACUUGACUAGCUCAUUGAUCAAAGAUGGUUAAGUUUCCUAGCCAUGGACAUGUGUUGUAAUUUGAUGAACGGGAUCACAUCAUUAGUGGAAUGAUGUGAUGGACAAGACCCAUCCGUCAGCUUAGCAUAAUGAUCAUUCAAUUUUAUUGCUAUUUCUUUCUUCAUGUCAAAUACAUAUUCCUCCGACUAUGAGAUUAUGCAACUCCCGGACACCGGAGGAAUGCCUUUUGUGCUAUCAAACGUCACAACAUAACUGGGUGAUUAUAAAGAUGCUCUACAUGUAUCUAUGAAGGUGUUUGUUGGGUUGGCAUAGAACAAGAUUAUGAUUUGUCACUCUGAGCAUCGGAGAGGUAUCUCUGGGCCCUCUCAAAAAUGCACAUCAUAUGAAGCCUUGCAAGCAAUGUGACUAAUGAGUUAGUUGCGGGAUGAUGCAUUACGAAACGAGUAAAGAGACUUGUCGGUAAUGAGAUUGAACUAGGUAUAAAGAUACUGACAAUCAAAUCUCGGGCAAGUAACAUACCGAUGACAAAGGGAAUAACGUAUGUUGACACUGCGAUUCGACCGAUAAAGAUCUUCGUAGAAUAUGUGGGAACCAAUAUGAGCAUCUAGGUUCCGCUAUUGGUUAUUGACCGGAGAGGUGUCUCGGUCAUGUCUACAUAGUUCUCAAACUCGUAGGGUCCACACACUUAACAUUCGAUUAUGAUAUGUAUUAUAUGAGUUAUGUGUUUCGUGACCGAAGGUUGUUGGGAGUCCCAAAUAAGAUCACGGACAUGACGAGGAGUCUCAAAAUGGUCGAGAGGUAAAGAUUGAUAUAUUGAAGGUAGUAUUCGGACACUGGAAGUUCCAGAGUGUAUCGGGUACAUACCGGAGUACCGGAGGGGUUACCGGAACCCCCCGUGGAAAUAUACGGGCCAUAUGGGCCAUAGGAGGGAAGCAAACCAGCCCACGUAGGUGUGCCCCCCCAAGGGAGGAGUCCGAAUUGGACUAGGGAAGGGGGAGGCGCCCCGUUUCCUGCUCCCUCUCCUACUCUUCCCCUUUCCCCCUCCGGUAAAAGGAAGGGGGGGGGGGGCGAAUCCCACUAGGAGUCCAAGUGGGACUCCUUCCCACUUGGGGCGCGCCUAGGCCGGCCUCCUCUCCAUCGUCCUUUAUAUACUUGGGGCGUGCCUAUGAGACACACCCAUUGUUCAAAGCCGUGUGCGGCGCCCCCCUCCACAGUUUACGCCUCCGGUCAUAUUCUCGCGGUGCUUAGGCGAAGCCCUGCACAGAUCACAUCACCAUCACCGUCAACAUGCUGUCGUGUUGACAGAACUCAUCUACUCCUUCGACCCUCUACUGGAUCAAGAGCUCAAGGGACGUCAUCGCGCUGAACGUGUGCAGAACUCGGAGGUGUCGUACAUUCGAUACUCAAUCGGUCGGAAUGACAAGACGUUCGACUACACCCUAAAAAAAUACACUUCCGUGAUGAUUUUAUGACAGAAUCAAUAUAGUCAUACCUGUGUUGUCGUAGAAGUGUUCCAUGACAUUACCAAAAUUAUCAUCACGGAAGUGUCCACUUCCAUGAUGAUAAAUCACGCGUCAUGGAGGUGCUUUCAUCAAGGGUGACCGACACGUGGCAUCCACCAUAACGGGUCAUCGUUAAGCUAUCGGGUCCAGUUUUGGAUCCGAUAACCCGCUAACAGCCACGACCAAUGGGGAUUUUCCAUGUGUAAAAUCAUCAUUGGCUGGAGGAGACACAUGUUGGCUCACUGUUGGGACAGAUGUCAUCCACUCAUUGGUCCGAAGGCGCCUAUGAUACGUUGACACAUGGCACAGCCCAACAUAGGCCCAUUCCUGUGAAAAGGCCGACCCGUUUGACUUGGUCAAAAGGCAGCGGGCCGGCCCACGGAAAGCCUGUUAAUGUCUUGUUAGCAUAUAGCCCAUUUAUAGCCCACUAACCCAGGGCCCGUUACAACCUAUCCGAAUUAGGCCCAGUAGCGUCAUCUGGGACGUCCAAUAUGAUUCCAGCCUGUUUGAACUUCCGGCCCAUGUAGGGCCCAUGACGUCUUUCAGCCCAUAUGAGGCUCUUUUUAACUCUUGGCCAAUUAACGGACCGUGGUGAAUCUGGCCCGUAAUGAAUAGUGUAUCACUAUAUUCCCAUUAACGGCCAAUUAUUCCAUUGGGCAGUUUCCAUCCCAUGUUAUCUUUCGGACAUUUCAGGGCUCAUUUGUUCUUGGGCUCAUUUCCAGCAUUCGGUUACUUACGGUCCGUUACUGGCCUGUCCCGCUUGUGCGGCAAAUUCAGCCUGUCGUUACAGUCAGCCUGUUUGUGGCAUGUUAACCCAUUGGGCUGUUUUCACAGUGUCAUCAAAUACGGCCUACUACCGGCCUGUUAUGGUUGGGCCAUAAAACACACGACUUCCACUCUAGCCUCUUUAUGACCCAUUUGGCGGACCGUUAUUGGUCCACGAAUGGUACGACCCACAUUUGGCGAAAUGAUUAUAUGGCCCGUAGUAGGCCCAUGGAUCCGUCGGCCCGUAGAAGGCCCACGGAUCCGACAGCCCAUAGAAGGCCCACAUAUCUGACGACCAUAGAAGGCCAUGGAUCCCACGUCCCGUAGAUGGCCCAUGGAUCGUAUGGCCCGUGGAGGGCCAUGGUCACUACAACGUUUGGGCGAGUUGCCCCCCGUUUGAAUGAUAUAGCAUAUUCAAAGAAUUAUCCUACUCUAUACUAUCACCUCUAAAAAACAUACACUAUACAAUAAAGAGACUAAGGCAUAGAAACGUAGACUAAUCGUACACUAUACAAUAAAGAAAUUACAGCCGAUUAUACCCACUGGGCAUUAUGGUUCGGCACCAGUGAUAAUAAAGCAUACACAAACAUCAAAUUACAUACACUGGGCAAAUACAACUCAUACAUCAUGGGCGCGCAUCAACAUAACUUACAAUUUGAACUAUAAUCUCUUUCGAAAAUAGGAUUGGCCAGAUUCAGAUAGCACAAAUUUCAGUCUGCAAAAUCUCCAAUUCCUUCAUGGUUACCCCAGUCUCUCGUUUCAUUCUCUUGACUCCUGCAUCUAAUACCUGCAAGUCCAGUCUCAACUCGUUGAUUGCACGUUCAGAAUCUUGUACACGUUGUCUUGUCACCUCUAGUUGAUGCUCGAGAACAUCAGCACAUUCCAAUUCCAAUCCAUAAUCAUUUGGUAACGGCCAUGUCACACUGCUCACAGAUCUUUGUUUUGAUGUCACUUCAUCCUGAAAUGUUUCUGUAAGUACACAUGACUAGGGCAAAAAUAUAGUUACAAUAGUGAAUCGAGCAAGACAGACUAUUUUGUCCAUGGCAAAACAUGACUAACAAUAAUGUUACACAUCAUGAAGCAUAAGCAGGUGAUAUUUUAAAAAUUAUAAAAAUGGUAGUCUAUGCAACCUGCAUACAAAAAUCUCUCUUAGCUCACUAGAGGAGCAUGAUGUUGGGGCAAAUCCAAAACACAGACAUGUUACAAAUUUAGACAACACGUUGCGUAUAAGCAAGCAGUUGGCCAUUCUGUAGCUCAAUUAAAGUCUUAGGGAGCAUAAUGAACAACAAAGGGAUUCAUACAAACCUACUACAGCAAGCAAAACUAUGCAAUCAUUAGACUAGUAUAAACUAGAUUGUGAGCCUCAUGCAGUAAUAGUUGGUUAAUAGACUUCAAAGCUUCAGGCACACUUCGCGAGAGUAAUUAAAUGGUAAGGCCUUUAAUUAUGUCAACUAAUAUUUAUACAAGUACCCAACAUCAUGCAUCAUUGUUUGGGCAUAUCAUUAAAUGAGGACAAAUAAAGCAAUUGAAAAGAGCAAUUUAACUAUGCCUGAAACAAACAAGCAAUUGAACUGUUGAGUUGGCAACAUGCAUACAUGCACGCCUCAAUAACAUCCAUGGCCUAGCUACAUUUACUAUAUAAAGGGACAACUAAUGUAAUAUUGUUUGCCCCCCCUUAAGUAUCUUGACUAGUAUGUAAUCAAUAUCCUAGUAAUGAUAAGGAGGCUAAUGAUGUGAUAUCCGUUUGGUUAUGACAUUUAUGACAUCGACAACUCUACCAUGGCAGGAAGCAAUUUCACACUGUUCACUACUAUAAGAUGUUUUUGAUAUUUAAAAGUAGACUACAUCCAUAAUGAGUGAACAAACACAUUGAAAUGUGUUUACAUACAUCUGAGUUACAAAAAAAUUUAGAACAUCAUAUAGUAGUGAGUGGAGGGUUUUUUAAUCAAUGGCCCAAUGACUGGGUUACAGGUGAAGAACCCUACGCAAGCACAAUGUCAGACAAAUAGGAUGUCCUGGUAAUUGUAAUACAGUGUGACUUACCUUAACUGGUUGAAUAGGCUCAAUGCUGCUCCUUCUUCUCUUGCCAGGCUCCUUCCUAACAUCUUGUACUUGGAAAUCCUCAACCUUAUCUUCAUUGCACCCCUUCUGCAAGGUGACACAAACUAGUUACUGGUCUCAUUGGAAGAUAAAUAUGCAUACUUUCCAGUCUGUGAACAACAAAAAAGGAUGAUAUUAUAACAAAACAACACCACAUAAUGAAACAUGCCACAUCUCUUACACAUAAUGAAAUGAGCAUUUACUAUGUGUGCAUUAUGUAAAAACUAGGCAUACCUUCAAACUGGAUCUCCAGGUACUCUUGGAGAGCCUAGUUUAGUGUACAGCCAAACCUUUAUGUCACCUAUGCGUUAUACAAGCCCCCACUACAGCAGCCCUUAGUAUUUAAACCAUUGAUAAGCUCUGUUAGGUCAAGAACAACAAAUAAUCAAAGCAAACAGUCCUAGUAUGGCUGGCUGAUACAAACAAACAAUUGCACAGAUGUGUGAGCAAAUCUUACAUAUCAAGAAAAGAAGCAUAGAAGGAGGCUUAAAGACCAUCACUUGACUGGCCAGAUUUAAGGGGCAUUUAAACAUCAUGUGCAAUGUAUGAACUAACAUAAACAUUGCAUAUUUCAGAUUCUAUAAUGAAAUGCACAUGUAUUAGGUUAUGCCAUGUAUGAUGAUGCCUAAAUGUACACUAUAGCAGGCGGGAGUGAUUCAUCAUUGCACACACAAUUGAAUUGUAGGUUAAGGGCGAGUUCUAUUAUGCCUUUUCAGAGGUUAUUGUAAAAAUAAGCCAUAAAAGAUGUAAAGAAGUAAUUUUUUAGUUAUGGACUUGGGCUUAACUUAUUUUGCUUUAGAGGGGGGUGUUUCGGGUAGAAGCUCACUAAAAAAUUGAAGGGAAGGGGAAUAGUGAAAUGACUCUGUUGUCUGCCUAUAUUACACUCAAAAUGCCAUUGCUCACGCCCGUGUCACACCUGACCCUCAAGUAAAAACAAACACGCAAGCAUUCAUUACCCUGCCCGCUUGCAUCUUCUCUCCCCUAUCCAUCUACCUCGAUCCCCUGCCUGCAGCGCUAGGGUUCCUCCAGCAAGCCGUUGCCACUGGUCCCAUCUGGACUAGUCCUCGAUGAUGCUCUGCCCAGCUAGGCUACAUGGCCGGCAGGUAGGGCCAAAUCUCCCCGGUUGCUCCUCCCUCUGGCGCUGCCCCUCAUUCUCAUGGUCUCCAGCAGCUGCUCCACUGUGGUGUGUCCAACGCACUACUCCGGCAGCGCCGCACAACUAUGACCGAUGCCACACUGCGGCAGAAGGCACCUCCUUCCCCUCCCCUCCUCCCAGGCUGUGGCCUUGAGGUGAUGUUGAAGAAUGAUCUCAUCCAACAAGGUGAGGAUAUCAUCUGAUUUUUUUGCCAAAUUUUCAUUCUGAUCCGCUAUACGAUGAAUUUCUAUGAGCUGCUUCUGCUGCUGCUAUAUGAUGCAUUGCUAUGAGCUCCUCCUCCUGCUGCUAUAUGAUGAAUUGCUAUGAGCUGCUGCUGCUAUAUGACGAAUUGUAUGAGCUGCUGCUGGUAUAUGAUGAAUUGCACGCUGCUGCUGCUGCUACUGUAUGAUGAGUUGCUAUGAGUUGCUGCUGCUGCUAUAUGAUGCUUUCAGGUGGUGCUGCUAUAUGAUAAUAACCAGCCACUUGGACAAUUGAAUUUCGAUAAAUAAUUGUUCUUAAGUUAAAUUUAGGUCAUGCAUUCUUCAUUUAAAUUAGGCAAUGGGAUCUCUAUGAAAGACAUUGACCAAAGUAGAUUGUGCCAAGUAGAUGGUAUCUUUGUAUUUGCAUUUUGAACAAAAUAUUUAUGGUAUGUUUUUUACCAUAUUAAUUACUGCACUGGGUUCAAUUUCUGUUGUUUGCAAGUCAAAUUAAUUUUCAUAUGGACAGUAAAAUGACAAAAUAUAAUGCAAUCUAGACUUUUCAAUGAUCAUACCACAGAUAAGCUGAAAAGGCAGGCAAUGAAAAGAACUAGUUGGCUUAUUACCUGGAGCUUAUAUUCAAAGGUGCUUAUUUUCUUAGAAUAACUCCAAAUAACUAUCCCUAAGAAACUUGGCCAAUAGAACUGACAUACAAAUAACAUGUCAUGAUGAUUGCAAUGGGAGAAUCCUACAAGAGAACUGGGCCAGUGUGACCUACCAUAGCACACUACAUAGGCUCACCGCUGCCCCUCCUUUUUUUGCGAUGUUCCAUGAAAUUGCCACAUACAUCUUGGACUUUUUCAUUGUGUAACCCUAUCUUCAAGUUCACGUCUAAUUUCAGACAUCUCUACAUGAUAAUAUAUUGCAUAUACCUUGCGCAUAUUUAAACCACCAAUAAACGAUUGUGUACAUAGCAUAAACUAGCCAUUGAUACGUCUCCGUCGUAUCUAUAAUUUUUUAUUGUUCCAUGCCAAUAUUCUUCAACUUUCAUAUACUUUUGGCAACUUUUUAUAUUAUUUUUGGGACUAACAUAUUGAUCCAGUGCCCAGUGCCAGUUCCUGUCUAUUGCAUGUUUUAUGUUUCACAGAAACCCCAUAUCAAACGGAGUCCAAACGGGAUAAAAACGGACGGAGAAUUUUUUUGGAAUAUUUGUGAUUAUUGGGAAAUAAAAUCAACACGAGACGGUGCCCGAGGUGGCCACGAGAUAGGGGCCCACGCCCACUCCAGGUAGGUGCGCCCCCACCCUCCUGGGCCCCUCGUAAGGCAGUUGAUGCCCUUCUUUGGCCGCAAGAAAGCUAAUUUUUGGAAAAAUAUCUGGGCGAAGGUUUCAAUCCAAUCGGAGUUACGGAUCUCCAGAAAUAAAAGAAACGGUGCCAGGGCAGAAUCCCAGAAUGCAGAAAUAGAGAGAGGCAGAGAGAUAGAUCCAAUCUCGGAGGGGCUCUCGCCCCUCCCACGCCAUGGGAGCCAAGGACCAGAGGGGAAACCCUUCUCCCAUCUAGGGAGAAGGUCAAGGAAGAAGAAGAAGAAGAAGGGGGGCUCUCUCCCCCUUGCUUCCGGUGGCGCCAGAACGCCGCCGGGGGCCAUUAUCAUCACCGCGAUCUUCACCAACACCUCCGCCAUCUUCACCAACAUCUCCAUCACCUUCCCCCGUCUAUCUAUAGCUGUCCACUCUCCCGCAACCCGAUGUACCCUCUACUUGAACAUGGUGCUUUAUGCUUCAUAUUAUUAUCCAAUGAUGUGUUGCCAUCCUAUGAUGUCUGAGUAGAUUUUCGUUCUCCUAUUGGUGGUUGAUGAAUUUCUAUGAUUGAUGUAAUUUUCUUGUGGUUAUGUUGCUGUCCUUUGGUGCCCAUCAUAUGAGCGCGCGCGUGGAUCACACCAUAGGGUUAGUUGUAUGUUGAUAGGACUAUGUAUUGGAGGGCAAGAGUGACAGAAGCUUCAACCUAGCAUAGAAAUUGAUGCAUACGAGAUUGAAGGGGGACCAAUAUAUCCUAAUGCUAUGGUUGGGUUUUACCUUAAUGAACGCUAGUAGUUGCGGAUGCUUUCUAAUAGUUCCAAUCAUAAGUGCAUAGAAUUCCAAGUCAGGGAUGACAUGCUAGCAGUGGCCUCUCCCACAUAAAACUUGCUAUAGGUCUAGUAAAGUAGUCAAUUGCUUAGGGACAAUUCCACAACUCCUACCACCACUUUUCCACACUCGUUAUAUUUACUUUAUUGCAUCUUUAUCUAAACAGCCCCUACUUUUUAUUUACGUGCUAUUUAUUAUCUUGCAAACCUAUCCAACAACACCUACAAAGUACUUCUAGUUUCAUACUUGUUCUAGGUAAAGCGAACGUCAAGCGUGCGUAGAGUCGUAUGAGUGGCCGAUAGGACUUGGGAGAGUAUUUGUUCUACCUUUAGCUCCUCGUUGGGUUCGACACUCUACUUAUCGAAAGAGGCUACAACUAUCCUGUAUACUUGCGGGUCAUCAAGACCUUUUUCUGGCGCCGUUGCCGAGGAGUCAUAGCAUGGGGUGAAUAUUCUUGUGUGUGCUUGUUUGCUUUAUCACUAAGUAAUUUUUAUUUGCUGUUCUUAGUUGUUCUCUAUCUUUAGUUAUGGAUAUGGAACACGAAAUACCAAAAAAUUAGGUGUACUUGCUACUCGUGGAGAUGGGGGACCUCCUAAAACCCUCGAUGCUCGUUAUGUUCAAGAUAUUAUGUACUACUUUGAUAAUCCUGAGAAAACCCCAUUCAAUUAUGUUAUGGGAGACACGUUGGAUCAACGUGAAUACUUUAGGGAUUAUCGCUUGAGACAAAAAGGGAAACUAUUGUGGGUUCAAAUUAAUAUGUUGCAUUGGUAUGCUCGGGAUCUAUGCUUGAGACAUGAUUAUAGUUGUUACUCUAGGAUGAAGGCUCCACACCUUCCCUUUCCAUGCGAAUUUAAUGAUGAUAAAACCUUAGCUUCUUAUGAUAAUGGUAUAUAUGAUUACUAUGAUGUGGAACAAAUAUAAGAAUUUGUUGCUUUUAUGGGUGCUUAUGAGAUUGAAUCUAUGUUUAAAACGUUUGAAGAUUUUGAUGAUUCAGUUUAUAGACCUGAAAUUUUUGCUAUACUUAGAUAUUGCUAUGAAAAUUAUGAAUACAAUUCCAAUAUUGAUGCAUUUAUUGAGAAAGUCUCCGCUGUCCAACAAGAGACUAAUAUUUUGCAGGAAGCUAUGGAAGAAGAAAUUGAUGAAACUAUGAGCUCAUUGGAUGAACAAAAUGAUGAGGAGAGCGAAGAACAAAAGGAGGAAGAGCGGAUUAGCUACCCGUGCCCACCUUCUAAUGAUAGUAACUCUUCAACUCAUACAUUGUUUAAUUCCCCUCCGUGCUUACCGAAGGAUGAUUGUUAUGAUGAUUGUUAUGAUCCCGUGGAUUCUCUUGAAAUAUCCCUUUUUGAUGAUGCUUGCUAUGCUUGUGGCCAAGAUGCCAAUAUGAAUUAUGCUUAUGGAGAUGAACUUGCUAUAGUUCCUUAUGUUAAACAUGAAAUUGUUGCUAUUGCACCCACGCUUGAUAGUUCUAUUAUAUUUUUAAAUUCUCCCAACUACACUAUAUCGGGGAAGUUUGUGCUUACUAAGGAUUAUAUUGAUGGGUUGCCUUUUACCAUUGCACAUGAUAAUUUUUAUGAAUGUAAUAUGCAUGUGCCUUCUGCUCCUACUUGCAAUUAUUAUGAGAGAGUAACUAUAUGUCCACCUCUGUAUGUUUCCAAUAUGAUAAAAUUGCAAGAAACUGUUUAUACUAUGCAUUGGCCUUUACUAUGUGUGCAUGAAUUGUUCUUUUAUGACAUGCCGAUGCAUAGGAAGAGAGUUACACUUCAUUGUUGCAUGAUAUAUGUUACUUUGUGCUCACUACUAAACUACAAAUCAUUGUUAAUUAAAAUUGUCUUUGAUAUACCUUGGGAUCCGGGUGGAUUCAUUACUUGAGCACUAUAUGCCUAGCUUAAUGGCUUUAAAGAAAGCGCUGCCAGGGGGACAACCCGGAAGUUUUAGAGAGUCAUUUAUUUCUGUUGAGUGCCUUCAUAUAGUUUAAAAACAAAAAAAUAAAGAGGGGAACCGAAAACUUUUCAAAAAGGAAAGUGAAAGUGAGAAAGACAAGCAUUAUUGAAGUGGGAGUUAGCCUUGGACUUUGUUCAUGCUCACGGAAACUUUGUGAAUCUUGAUUACAGAAACUUUUCAACAAAAAUAAUUACCCCCUUGUACAAUUCCAUUGUAUUGUAAUAAUAAUGUGCCAAGGUUUGCCUUUAGGAUGUUUACAAUGCUUGUUGGUUUGUACAGUGCAGGACAGAAACUUUGGCUGUAGUGUGUGGUUUUACAUUUUUUGCUGGAACAUAAAAUGGUUAUGAUUCUUUUUGAAAUGUCUUUAUGUACAAAUUAUUUAUUUUUCAUAAUUUUGGUAGAAUUUUUGGGGGUACAUAAGUAUGGUGAAUGUUCAGAUUGCUACAGAUUGUUCUGUUUUUGACAGAUUCUGUUUUUGAUGCAUAGUUUGCUUGUUUUGAUGAAUCUAUCAAUUUAUAUCAGUGGAUUAAGCCAUGAAAAAGUUAUAUUACAGUAGACACAAUGCAAAAAAAAUAUGAAUGGGUUUUCUACCGUACCUAGAGUAGUUAUUUGCUUUAUUAUACGAACGGAUCUUACCGAGUUUUCUGUUGAAGUUUUGUGUGGAUGAAGUGUUUGAUCGAGAAGGUCUCGAUAUGAGGAAAAGGAAGAGAGGCAAGAUAUCAAGCUUAGGGAUGCCCGAGGCACCCCAAGUAAAUAUUCAAGGAGACUCAAUCGUCUAAGCUUGGGGAUGCCCCGGAAGGCAUCCCCUCUUUCUUCAACAAGUAUUGGUAUGUUUUCGUAUUCGUUUUGUUCAUGCGAUAUGUGCAAGUCUUGGAGCGUCUUUUGCAUUUACUUUUAAUUUUUCUUUUAUUCACCAUGCUGGUAUGAGGUAGUCCUUGGUUGAUUUAUAGAAUGCUCAUUGCACCUCACUUAAAUCUUUUGAGUAUGGCUUUACAGAAUGCUUCAUGUGCUUCACGUAUAUCGUUUGAAGUUUGGAUUGCCUGUUUCUCUUCACAUGGAAAACCCCCAUUUGUAGAAUGCUCUUUUGCUUCACUUAUAUUUGUUAGAGCGUGGGCAUUUCUUUUAUAGAAAUAAUUAAACUCUCUUACUUCACUUAUAUCUAUUUAGAGAGAUGACAGGAAUUGGUCAUUCACAUGGUUAGUCAUAAAAUCCUACAUAAAACUUGUAGAUCGCUGAAUAUGAUAUGUUUGAUUCCUUGCAAUAGUUUUGCGAUAUAAAGGUGGUGAUAUUACAGUCGUGCUAGUUGAGUAAUUUUGAAAUUGAUAAAUACUUGUGUUGAGGUUUGGAAGUCCCGUAGCAUGCACGUAUGGUGAACCGUUAUGUAACGAAGUUGGAGCAUGAGGUGUUCUUUGAUUGCUUUCCUUAUGAGUGGAGGUCGGGAUCGCGCGAUGGUUAACUCCUACCAACCCUUCCCCUAGGAGCAUGCGUACUAGUACUUUGCUUUGAGGGCAAGUAGACUUUUACAAUAAGUAUAUGAGUUCUUUAUGACUAAUGUGAGUCCAUGGAUAUACGCACACUCACCCUUCCACUUUGCUAGCCUCUAUUGUGCCGCGCAACUUUCGCCGGUAUCAUGAACCCAUUAUUUACCUUCCUCAAAACAGCCACCAUACCUACCUAUUAUGGCAUUUCCAUAGCCAUUCCGAGAUAUAUUGCCAUGCAACUUUCCACCAUUCCGUUAUUAUGACACGCUCCAUCAUUGUCAUAUUGCUCUUUGCAUGAUCAUGUAGUUGAUAUUGUAUUUGUGGCAAGGCCACCCUCAUAAUUUUCAUACAUGUCACUCUUGAUUCAUUGCAUAUCCCGGUAUACCGCCGGAGGCAUUCAUAUAGAGUCAUAUUUUGUUCUAAGUGUUGAGUUGUAAUUCUCGAGUUGUAAAUCAAUAAAAGUGUGAUGAUCAUCAUUAUUAGAGCAUUGCCCCAGUGAGGAAAGGAUGAUGGAGACUAUGAUUCCCCCACAAGUCGGGAUUAGUCUCCGGACUUUAUGAAAAAUAAAAGAGGCCAAAGAAGCCCAAAUAAAAAAAUAGGACAAAGAAGCCCAAUCCAAAAAAUAAAAAUAAAAAUGGAAAUAAAAAAAGAAAAUAAAAAAUGAGAGAAAAAGAGAGAAGGGGCAAUGUUACUAUCCUUUUACCACACUUGUGCUUCAGAGUAGCACCAUGUUCUUCAUAUAGAAAGUCUCCUAUAUUGUCACUUUCAUAUACUAGUGGGAAUUUUUCAUUAUAGAACUUGGCUUGUAUAUUCCAAUGAUGGGCUUCCUCAAAAUGCCCUAGGUCUUCGUGAGCAAGCAAGUUGGUUGCACACCCACUUAGUUUCUUAUGUUGAGCUUUCAUAUAUUUAUAGCUCUAGUGCAUCCGUUGCAUGGCAAUCCCUACUCACUCACAUUGAUAUCUAUUGAUGGGCAUAUCCAUAGCCCGUUGAUACGCUUAGUUGACGUGAGACUAUCUUCUCCCUUUUUGUCCUCACAACCACCACCAUAUACCACCAUAGUGCUAUGUCCAUGGCUUGCGCUCAUGUAUUGCGUAAGAGUUGAAAAAGCUGAAGCGCGUUAAAAAGUAUGAACCAAUUGCUUGGCUGAAACCGGGGUUGUGCAUGAUGGGAGUAUUUUGUGUAAUGAAAAUGGAGCAUAGCCGGACUAUAUGAUUUUGUAGGGAUGAGCUAUCUUUGGCUAUGUUAUUUCGAUAAGACAUAAUUGCUUGGUUGGUAUGCUUGAAGUAUUAUUGUUUUUAUGUCAAAUGAUAGACCAUUGCCUUGAAUCACUCGUGUCUUAAUAUUCAUGCCAUGAUUAGACAUAUGAUCAAGAUUUUGCUAGGUAGCAUUCCACAUCAAAAACUAUCUUUUUUAUCAUUUACCUACUCAAGGACGAGCAGGAAUUAAGCUUGGGGAUGCUGAUACGUCUCCAUCGUAUCUAUAAUUUUUGAUUGUUCCAUGCCAAUAUUCUUCAACUUUCAUAUACUUUUGGCAACUUUUUAUAUUAUUUUCGGGACUAACAUAUUGAUCCAGUGCCUAGUUCCAGUUCCUAUCUGUUGCAUGUUUUAUGUUUCGCAGAAACCCCAUAUCAAACGGAGUCCAAACGGGAUAAAAACGGACGGAGAAUUAUUUUGGAAUAUUUGUGAUUUUUGGGAAGUAAAAUCAACGCGAAACGGUGCCCGAGGUGGCCAUGAGAUAGGGGCCCACACCCACUCCAGGUGGGCGCGCCCCCCACCCUCCUGGGCCCCUCAUAAGGCGGUUGAUGCCCUUCUUUGGGCACAAGAAAGCUAAUUUUUGGAAAAAGAUCUGGGCGAAGGUUUCAAUCCAAUCGGAGUUAUGGAUCUCCGGAUAUAAAAGAAACGGUGCCAGGGCAGAAUACUAGAACGCAGAAACAGAGAGAGGCAGAGAGAUAGAUCCAAUCUCGGAGGGGCUCUCACCCCUCCCACACCAUGGGAUCCAAGGACCAGAGGGGAAACCCUUCUCCCAUCUAGGGAGAAGGUCAAGGAAGAAGAAGGGGGGGUGGGUUCUCUCCCCCUUGCUUCCGGUGGCGCCGGAACGCCGCUGGGGGCCAUCAUCAUCACUGCGAUCUUAACCAACACCUCCGCCAUCUUCACCAACAUCUCCAUCACCUUCCCCCCUCUAUCUACAGCGGUCCACUCUCCCGCAACCCGAUGUACCCUCUACUUGAACAUUGUGCUUUAUGCUUCAUAUUAUUAUCCAAUGAUGUGUUGCCAUCCUAUGAUGUCUGAGUAGAUUUUCGUUGUCCUAUUGGUGGUUGAUGAGUUGCUAUGAUUGAUUUAAUUUUCUUGUGAUUAUGUUACUGUCCUUUGGUGCCCAUCAUAUGAGUGCGCGCGUGGAUCACACCAUAGGGUUAGUUGUAUGUUGAUAGGACUAUGUAUUGGAGGGCAAGAGUGACAGAAGCUUCAACCUAGCAUAGAAAUUGAUGCAUACAGGAUUGAAAGGGGACCAAUAUAUCUUAAUGCUAUGGUUGGGUUUUACCUUAAUGAACGUUAGUAGUUGUGGAUGCUUGCUAAUAGUUCCAAUCAUAAGUGCAUAUAAUUCCAAGUCAGGGAUGACAUGCUAGCAGUGGCCUCUCCCACAUAAAACUUGCUAUCGGUCUAGUAAAAUAGUCAAUUGCUUAGGGAAAAUUCCGCAACUCCUACCACCACUUUUACACACUCGCUAUAUUUACUUUAUUCCAUCUUUAUCUAAACAGCCCCUACUUUUUAUUUAUGUGAUCUUUAUUAUCUUGCAAACCUAUCCAACAACACCUACAAAGUACUUCUAGUUUCAUGCUUGUUCUAGGUAAAGCGAACGUCAAGCGUGCAUAGAGUCGUAUUAGUGGCCGAUAGGACUUGAGAGAGUAUUUUUUCUACCUUUAGCUCCUCGUUGGGUUCGACACUCAUCGAAAGAGGCUACAACUAUCCCGUAUACUUGCGGGUCAUCAACCAUGACUCUGUGUGGUGGACUAGCAGGCACUCUAAGGGAGCCUAAUGUAGUGCACUGGAAUUCCUACAUGCCACCUAUGAUUUUGUGUAAUGUACUACCUUUGUUCCAGCGGGUAUCAUGUAUGACAUCUACAUAUCUAAUUUAGCAGCCAGUAGUAGAAAUCAUUGUCUGUGCAAAGGGAUUACUGAUCGAAAAUCCUAGCAAAGCAUGCUGAUAGGCACACAACAAUACAAGAGAGAGAGAUGCACUUACAAUAUCAUAGUAAUGCCCCAGUCUAGGAUCUUGGUUGGCCAAGUUGUUAGAACCAGACUAAACAUCAUCCUUGUAGUUUUUGCCAGCUGCAUAACAUGUAACAGAGACCUAUUAGUAUAUUUGAAGUACAUCUGGCUGGUGAUGCUGGAUGGGUUUAAAGCUGACAAGUACCUAGGCCGUGGCGGCUGCUUGGCAUCUUGCCAGACAUUGGGAAUCAGGUUAGAAAUAUAAGGGUGAUGAUGCUGUGCUGGCUAUCGGGGUCCGGUAAGGAGAUCUAGAACUGUCAAGCAGGGUGUUUGUGGAGCAGCUUCGGUAGGGUGGACUACAGUGUGGGUGAAUCGAAUCUGAGGCCGUGGACGAGGGGGUCGGUGAAGAUGUUCCAGUGGUUGGGUUCAGGAUGGUGUCGACGAUGCGGAUCUGCGGCCGUGGACGGGGCGUCAGAAGCUGCUCCGGUAGGUUGGACGAUGGUGUGACGAAGCGGAUCUGAGUCUGGGGACUUGUGCGUUGGCAAAGCAGCCCCGGUAGGGUUGAGAAUGGUAUAGGCAAAGCUACUCUGGUAGGGUUGAUGAUGGUGUUGGCGAAGCAGCUCCGGUAGGGUUGAUGAUGGGGUCGGCGAAGUGGCUCCGGUAGGGUUGAGGAAGGUGUCGGCAAAGAGGAUCAGAGGCCAUCGACGGGGGCGUCGGUGGGGCGGCUCCGGGGGGUGUGGAUGAAGCGUCUCCGGUGGGGAGUACGAAGGAGCCGCUGCAGAUGCGCCGCGGUUGGCGAGAGUACCGGCGAAGCAGAUCCGACACCAUGGACAAGGACGGCACUGAAUGGACUGUGGUAUAGUGGUGGAUGAGCAGUCUACUUGUUUCUAGGGGAGGUGGGAGGGGUAGAUGCGGCUGCAGAAGCAGAUCCAGCGAGGUGGACACCGCUGGAAGUGGAUGGGCUCUGGUACACCGGUGGAUGAGCAGUCUAGGGUUUCUAGAGGGGAGGGGUAGAAAGGCCAAUGAAGUAUGGACGGUGUGAUGUAAGAUGCUCUGGUGCUGUGGAGUUAGUGUUUUUUGUUGGAGGGGGAGAGGAAAUGGGGUGCCGUGUGGUGGGGGGAACCGGAAGUUACCAAAGCAGCCCCGACCUAUUAUGUAAAUGAGUGUCGUAUUGUAACUGUUGUUCUCCGUGCACCAAGGACAAAAGGGAAAUUUCGCAUGCUAAAGACUAGGCGGCGAAAAUUUUAGAAGGAGGUGGGAGAUUUUGCCACCCGCGGGAUCGUUCGUAUCCAGUUUCAACUAAUUUUGGAUAGUGCUAGCGGGAAGGUCAUGCGAUACUGUGUACACGAGGCACACAUCAGCAGUUAAUAACUGGUGUGAAGUCCACCCCAUAAGAAAAGACAAUAACUCGGGAUGAUGCAUCGAUAACUUGGACGUUCACACGGGCGCAACCAAUCGUAUGGGUGUAGAGGCACGUUCACAAAAAAGGGAUCAAACGCUCAGCCUAUGUAUUUCUCGUGUAAAUGUACAACUUAGUGCCAUUGGUUAUUUACUUUAAACAUAAUGCAUUGACGUGUUAUUGUAGAGGCGCACAAAAAGAAAUGGAUAUUGUAGUCACACAAAAGAAAUGGAUAUUGUAGGCCGCUACUUAAAAGUGUUACCUCAUAUGAUUACAUAGCCUACAUUUCAUAAAUUGCGUACCCGUUGAAUUCAUAUAUGAAUAUUACAUAUAUUACUUCACAAUAGAACCUUAUAUCAUCCAAGACUAAUGAAUUUGAAUGCAAGACUAACAAUGGUGCAUGUACAUGAUAGCUACAUUGGUUGUUUGAAGAAACACCAGUGUAACUUUCGCAUGCACAAUUGAAAAGGAUUAUUUAGAAAAAAUGUGAUAUGUGAGUGUCCAAUCUUUAUAGCGUUUAAUCGAUAUCGUAUCUUUGGCCACUAUAUGAAGUAGAUAUUGAUUUAUGUUAAAGCGAUGCACGUCCACGAUCGCUAGAUAGUGAUUGUGAAUGAAUUGUGCAAUCUCUCUCACACACAUACAUAUCUCAUUUCUCUGUGGGCAUUAGAAUCACACACGCGCACUUCGUGCAUUUCUCUCCCUCUGUAAAGGUUAGAAUUUGUCUUUCUACCCCGUGCUACAAGUCUCUCAGACAGAAACACACACGCUCUCUCCCUCGAACACGCCCACCCCUUUAAUUCGCCCACCCACCACCACUAAUGUCUCAAAGUAUAAUUAUGUCUCGCACACAUAUGCCUAUGGUUGACUCGAGCUAGAUCCCAUUGUAGGUAUUCAUAUGGUUUCGGGACUCAAAAGACGACGAGGUUAUUAUUGACUUGAAGGCCAAAACUUUCGUCGUCUUUUGAGUCCCGGAACCAUAUGAAUACAUGCAAUGGGAUCCAGCAGAGCACCUUUUGUUUUGAGAUUUCACUCUCUCUCUCUCUCUCACACACACACACACACACACGUGUAGACAUUGUUUCUCUCUUCAAAUUUUUUUGGCACUUGCAUGCACAUCGCUUGUUUAUCUUUGUGAUGCUUUAAGUAUGCCUCACACACAUGCUAUCUACCUAUCACUUAAUAUAGGUAUGUGUCACACAAAUUCCUUCUCCCUAUAUCUAAGUGUUACUGCCCCCACCCCCCCACACACACUUCCCGACACCGAAGGAGUAGGGUGACACCACGAUCUUGAUACUAAUCUAUCUACUAGAUUCUCUCUCAAACACACACACCCACGCGCGCACUACCCGACACCGAAGGAGUAGGGUGGCACCUCGAUCUUGAUAGUAAUCUAUCUACUCGCUUCUCUCUCAAACACACACACACCCCCGCUAGGUGUGCCUCUGUGCCUAUCGCGCGCACACUCUCGAUACUGUUUCUCUACCCCCCUCCCCCCCAACAAUGGCAGCAGAAGGGCGACAACUCGAUCUUGAUCUUAAUCUAUCAAUUGGUCUCUCUCUCAAGCACACACACACACACUAGUUGUGUCUAUGUGCCUCUCUCACACACAAUCGACACGUCUUUCUCUCUGUAGCCCCCUCGAUAUGUAGACUUCUCGCGCGUGCACAGUUGUAGUGACGAUGACUCUGAACCCAAUGUGCCUUGUUUUUACUGGCCUCAUGUGAUAGUUUUCACCCUAUUUUCUAUUAAUUAACAAGGCAAACUUUUCUUUGUUGCUACUAGUGAAUCUGAGAUCAUUUGGGGCAGACAUACAAUAUAUCACUUCAACUCAAUUAUCGCAUUAACUAUUUUAAAAGAAACUAGCUAGAUGCCCGUGCAUUGCACGAAACAUCAAGAUGCAUUUGUAUGAGUAGUUUAUCUUGUGAGAGAAACAGAUGAACGAGGGAAAGCCUUAUUUGAAAAUGUGGAGAGGGGUGUGUGUAUCUCUUUGCAAAAUUGCCAUAGUUUCCUCCUAUCCGUUAGAUAUAAAUCCGACGGCCUAUAUUGCAGGAUGACAGGCACACCAUCAUCACUAACUCUGUUUUUCUACUCCCUCUGUUCCUAAAUAUUUGUCUUUUUAGACAUUUCAACAAGUGACUACAUAUAGAGCAAAAUGAGUGAAUCUACACUCUAAACUAUGUCUAUAUACAGAUCCGUAUGUGGUAGUCCAUUCAAAUCUGAAAAAGAAAAAUAUUAAGGAACAUAGGGAGUAUAGGAGUAGACAUAGAGAUAUAUCUCCAGCAUCAUCCACAACGAACAUGUGUUGGGCUGGUUAGUGCCGGAUGCUCGCAACGCGAUGACCUAGUUUGAAUUAUGUCUUUAACUUUAGAUUUUUGUAUUACUAGCAAGAUGCCCAUGCGUUGCACGGAACAUCAAGAUGCAUUUGUAUGAGUAGUUUAUCUUGUGGGAGAAAAGGAUGAACGAGGGAAGGCCUUAUUUGCAAAUGUGGAGAGGGGUGUGGGUGUCUUUUUGCAAAAUUGCCAUAGUUUCCUUCCUAUCUGUCAGAUAUAAAUUGGACGGCCUAUAUUGCACGAUGGCAGGCACACCAUCAUCACCAAAUCUGUUUUUAUAAGAGUAUAGAUAUAGAUAUAGAUACAGAGAGAGAAGUACAGAGUAGAGAUAUACUAUUAUUUAAUAUAUACUUCUUUCACUACUGUACUGACAGUGGAACCCACAGAGUACUUAGAAUACAAGAUUAAGGAUGGAUUUGUUUCUUUUUAACUUUCUCUAUGAUAGUGUAGCCACCCUGCAAGUCAUGUACACUAUACAUGCAAUUAACUUUUUAUAGAGGGAGAAUCAUACACGCAAUUAACUCAAAUGGAUUGGAUGUGACUCUAUUAUUUCCAGCAUAGGAGCAUCUCCAACAGCAGCCAGCAAAUUUCCUCCCGCUUCCUUCCGCGGAGGACGACAUCCAAUGCUAGUAGCAUACAUUUUCACAACUCUAACCAACCAGAGGAAAUUCGUGCAAACGCAGACUGAUUUCAUAUAAGCAUGAAGGAUUUCGUAUAAAAGAGUCGGAUCUUCAUAUAAACAUGAUGGAUUUCAUUACAUUUACAUGAACUAAGUGGUACUAAUCCGGCUCUCGUGGUAUAAUUAAUACCUGAUCAAAAUGGCCGCCCGCGGAUCCCUUUGUCUUCCUCGUGUUCGGCAGACACUUGCGGGGUCGACGAAGGUCCUAGGAAGGGAUGAAGCAGCAAAGAAACCACAUGUAUACACAUUCAUCGCCUAAGCGGUGGCCUUCAUGGGACCCAAAUGGCGGCGGCCUCCCGUGUUCUACUUCUCCUCGAUGAUGGCAGCGGACACGGAGAACCUCGCAACCGACUCAUCGCUCUCCAUGCACCUAGCUUCUGUCUCUGCCUACAUGGCGCUGCCGCAGGCACAAGAGGCGUGCCCACAAACACGGGAGGCCUGUCCACCGCAGACACUGGUGGCGCCGUACGACAUGGCAGCGAUGACACCCAUGCCAUUGUGCUCGCCGCCGUGCCGGCUUGGAGCAACUCGCCACUCCUCAUCAAGUUGAACUUGAGCGAGGAGUUGCUGAACCACGUGCCGGCUUGGGGCGGCAACUGGCUCCGUUGGUCCAAGUCAGGUUGGUGAAGCACCGAGCGGCCUCGCUCGUAUCCGGAGGGCUCGGUGGGCUACCCAGCCAGGUAGUAUGCCGGAGAACGGCUCCUCGGAAGCCAUCAGAAGAGUGGAGAAAAUGGUGAAGGAAGAGGUGGGGGAGAGGUGAGGGGUGUGAUUCUUGCCUGAUGUCUGUCUGGCCUCGUUUAAAUAGAGGGUAGAUGGUAGGAGCUUGGCCGGUGUCUGGCCUCGUUUAAACUGAGGGCGGAUGGGAGGAGCUUGGCCGGUGUUCCAUUUAAUUCUGGCCAGCUCAUGAACAGAUGUGUGGCCAGAGUAGGUUUCUCGGUUUGCAUGCAGGUUUAAUGGGGGUGUUUGAUGGAGGCGAGGAGGCGUGUUCAGCCGGGUGUGCAGCAGGCAGCACAGUACUAUUCAAUUUGACAGCGGGCAGUGCAGUUCCCUAUACGACUUUAAUGCAGACGAGGGAGAGGGAAGCGGUUCCCGAAAUAUUGAACGGAUAAUGGUGCAUCCUUUGUCAAUUAGCAUCGUGAAUGCAUGAGGAAAGUAACGGGAGGAGGACCGGGAAAAGAGGCAGCACGAUGUGAAUGCAACACAAUUUGCACUCUUUAAAGGCGCCCCUCUGUUCUAAUGCAUCUACCACAUCGUACGCACCUAAAGCACCUACACUAAGUGCAAAAUUGCUCACUCAAGACCCAUGGAGGCGAUACGCGCGAGCGGCCAACUGCUGUCCCAGAUGGUCCACAACGCUGGCCUACGUCAUGGCACCGAGGAUUGUCUCCAUACGGUGUUGGCGACCAGCUGGUGGAUGGCCAGCAUCGACGCCAGCUACGACUCUCAGUUGGACCAGAUGAUCAUUGCCACCAUCAACAAGUUCACCGUCGUCAAGAAGCUCGCAGACGACAUCGUCAUACUCCUCCAGCCCACGCGCCCGGGCUCCUCAUUGCCUGCCACCCUUAUCGACCUCCAUGGCCGGAACCUCUUUCAAGCAUUGGUGGCCCUGCGACUGCCCGCCGACGCAACAAAGAAUGUCCACAUGGAGGUCGCGCUCGCCGCGAGGUGCCUCACCCUUCAAGAAUUCGUCGACCUAGACAUCCACAAGUACGAGGAAGUCGUGUACAUAGGUAUCUACAAGGCUGGUGAGGACACUACAAUGUUGGCCAUCCUCAACCGGCUGGAAGCAUUGGGCGCCUUUGCUGAGAAGCACUUUAACCUCGCCACAAAAGUCGCGGCUGCUAAGCCACCGGUCGGUGGCCCGGUGCACUGAGUCAAGGAGGAGGAGGUCGUACGUUGAUGGAUGCAUCUUCUUCUUGCCUCCUGUAAGCACCAAUGUGAUUGCAUCAUCAUGGCCUUAAUUCUUAUUGUGCUAUUGCAUUCUCGUUCCAGCCAAUACAAACAUGUGCGAUCCCUUUCCCACAUUUGGAGGCAAUUAUAUGUGUCACUGUAACUAGUACUCCAUCCGUCAAUUUAUAAGUUGUGCUUACCUUUUCCAUCAACUUCGUGCAACGCACGAGCAUCUUGCUAGAAACACUACAACAUGUUGAACCGUGUGUGACCAAACCGAUGAUGCACCAACUUAGCUACUACCCUGCUUAUCUGGCGGAAAAAGCCCCGCCCUAGUGUUUCCAAUCGUUAUUUCUAUCUAUCGAUCGUGCCAAGGAGCAGAACCAAAUGGUACAAUUUAUACAUGUUUCUCUACUCCUAUAAAAGAGUGUUUUGUUUCAAGUUUGUGAACAAGUACUAUUCUACUUUUGAUCCGUCGCAAUGCACGAGCACAUUGCUAGUAAAAGAAAAAGGUCUGCCACGUUCGGGCGUUUGCGUCACACCCCCACAUGCCUGGAACCAGGAGUACUCCAUGGCCCGUCUGGCAUGCCACAUAGCUAGGGAAGGCAUGUUUCCUAGCAUUUUCACUUUCAUGUGGGACCAUAGUUGAGCAAACCGACUAUCGGCAAACUGGACCACGACAAACUGCACCUUGCCGCCGCGUUGGAAAACAACAAUGAGGGGAAGAUCUAGCUAUGUCAUGGAAGCCAAGAAAUUUGGUGUCAGAUGGGGCUCGUUGAUAGAGUAGGAGCACUCCUUCCCCACAAAAAAGAGAGUAGGAGCACUCCGUAGUAGUACUCCUACUAGUACGAAGUUUGUACUACAACUAGUACUACCAUUAUACAACUAGGUACGUGCACAACACAACAUCGUAGGAACAAAAAAUGGGAAGAUCUUGUUUAGGGUGAUUUAUGUUUUUUUAGUCAACAUAGUAUAAAUAAUAUGAUGUGGGGGCACCCAUGAGGCUUAUGUGGCUUGGUUGCAUGGCUAGGAAAGGCUAGAGAAAAAUAAAUAGAUAAUGUGUUUAGAGUGCACUCCACUAAAUAGAUACUAUGGAUCCAUUGCAACGCAUGGGCCGGCAUAUUGGUAGUAGUAAGAGACAAAUUCCGGGUUUGGCACGAGUUCGUAUUGUGGGAGCACCACAAGGCCUAGUGCAGGAGUGAUAUUUCCCCCUCUCGGGGCCCAUGGGACCGAGCUUCAGUGGCUUAGUGCACCGGCCUAUGAGUCAAUGACAUGUUGACCUUAAAUGCGGCUGGCCCACAUGUCAUUCUCAUGAAAGCUGAGCGGUGGUGGGACCGAGAGGGGUGAGGCGCAGGUCGGUGGACGAGGCUUGCCUGCUCCCCUCCCAUGCUCCAGUCUGUACUCCCGCACCACUAAUUUUCAUCCAACAGUUGUACUAAUAGAUUUCCUCGUGUGGGUCAUCUAUAGCCUCAAAGAAAGAUAAAUAAAGGCCGUAUUUCUAGGAAAUAAUUUCCUGCAUUAAUCUGUACACGCAUGCAAGACCCUUUCCUUUCCUGCUCAUCCUCCUCCGGAUCAUCAUCUGUGUUGACAAUGGCAGUGCCAAUGCCAGAGCGUGGCAACAGGUGCCUGCCCAAGCCAUGUAGCAUGAUGUGGCGCUAGCAAGUACCACCUCCUCCACACCAACAUCGGCGUCUGGGCCAUGCACAUGCAGUUGCUCCCGUAGUAUUUUACCCGCAUGUUCGACUGCAGUACCACACUGAUCUUGGAGGAUACCAUGGAGCUUGUGGCCAAGAAAAGCCUCUGCCCGGCCAACGCAUGUCAACGUGCUUGAUUGUGACAUGCCGCACAAUGUUUACUAGCUUGUGCUCCGGAUGAGCGACAGAGUGCUGCUCCCGAUCGUUAGUGCAGCGACGGCAAUGAUGGCCGGGUGGGAGCUCGAAUGGGAGCCAGUGAUCUACCCGGGGCACAUAGCUUCGACUUGGGCUCGAGAUUCCAACCGCUUGCACCGUCCUAAGGAUGUACCACUCAGCGACGAGGCUGGAAUGCUGGAUAUGUAUAGGCGUGUGCUCGUGGGUGGGAGGAACCUCCUCAAUUGAUACCGGUUUGCGAACGUGAUGUACUCUACAUAGCCCAAGCCUAGAGGCACUCCUGCCGUCGUAUGUUGACGUGCGGCUCAAAGACAUGCGGCCACGUGCCAGCAUAGGUCGGCUAUCGGGAAACGGCAUCGCUGUGGUUUCGAGAUGCCCAGGUGGCCGUUGUCGUGGCGGCGUUCGCGACUCACACUAUCGAGUUGCACUGGCCGGUGGUGGCCUGGCCGUGGUGAGGGUGCCAAAGCUGGACGUCAGGGUGUUAUGAGGCGUAGAAGUCCAUGGAAGGAAACCAUGGAAAUUUUGCAAAAAUAUACCCACACCCCUCUCCACAUUUUCAAAUAAGGCCUUCCCUCGUUCAUCAUUUUCUCCAACAAGAUGAACUACUCACACAAAUGCAUCUUGAUGUUCCGUGCAACGCACGGGCAUUUUGCUAUUAAGAAACAAAUCUCGAGUUUGGCACGAGUUCGUGCAGCGGUAGCACCACAAGGCCUGGCGCAGGAGUUACAUUUCCCUCUCGGGGCCCACAGGACCGAGCUUCAGUGGACCCGAUAGGUGGCUGCUCCAAAUGUCAUGCUCUCGAAGGAAGAGAGGCGAUGGGGUCGAGAGGGAUGAGCCAUAGGUCAGGGGACAUGUGGUGUGGUAUCAUGGGUUUGAGCGGCGUCGUGGGAAUCGCGUGUGGCUGUGGAACCUUGAUGCUCGCCGCAUUUCAGCUGGCCCACAUGUCAUGCACACAAAGGCAGAGGGGUGGUGCGUCCGAGAGGGGUGAGGCGCACGUCGGGGGACGUGGUGCGUGCCGUGGGCUGGAGCAGCGAUGUUGGAAUCACGAGUGGUAGUGUAUGAAACAUGAUAGUCGUCGUAGUUCAACUUCCAUGGACAAGCUGACAUGUCUACUGACACAUGCAUUACAUACCGAUCACUGGAAGGUGUAGUAGAGAAAGCUAGGCGGACAAAAAAUUCAUUAUAGUCAAGCGGACCUAUGUUGCUACUCUACUUGUUCCAAAGACAUGCACACAAUCGAAAUAGUUCAUAUAUAUCAAUAUACACAAAGAGGAAAUAUUUUUUUACAAGAGAGGAAAUAGUUCAUCCAUCCAUAAUGCCCUGCUGCUAGUGCAGCUUCUUCUUCUUCUUAUUCUUCUUCUUCUUCUCAUUUUUUGUGGGAGACGGCUUCGCAACAAGCUCUUUGGACCUUGGAGAUAUUUCGAAACUCACACGGCCAUCGACGGCAGCAUAUUUUAUCCACUCAUACGUCAAGGGAUAAUUCUCCCAUCCAGACGACCUUAAUGCCGGCGUCUCGUCACCCUUCUGAAGAUUUGUACCGAGCACAAAAUUUGCUAUGUCAAAUAGGGAUGGUAUCUAUUUAUCACAAUCUUCUACAGGAAUUUUGAUUCUGGUUUGUAGGUCAGUGAUGCUUUUCAAAUCAAGGUUGUAUGGCACCAGCUUCUAUUUGUCCCCUUCGAUGGCUGCCCCACAGAAGUAUAUAUCCUCCCGAGACAAGAAAUCAUGGAGCUCACCUGGUAUGGAGGGCGCGUGUAUGAUGUGGUACACCAACACAUCAUCUUCGAGGCACAGCUGAAGGACGGCGGCGCGUUGGAUCUUCCCAGUGGAACGCUUCGUGUACUCUGCGUCGAGACAGAUGACCUUCAUCUCUACCUUUUCGAGGGAGUUGGAUACAUUGUUGAUCCACUUCCGAACAACCCUUGGAUGGUCGGUGACGGUGGCAACUAUGCUCAACGAGCCUUCGACGAGGACAUGUUGGAUGCUAAAAACCUGCAUCUGGAUCUCUUUCGCCAUUUGGAACCGCUGGACCGAAGGGCUAUGGUUUGGAGAAUUAGGAUUAGAUGGCUAGUCUAACUGAAGAAGAUGAUUAUUUAAAGGUGCUUCAGAAUUACUCCAGGAGUAUGUGAAGAGGUUAAAACAAUGUGAGUGCAUUGGGGUUUGGAUGCAAAUGAAGACGAAGGAGAGGUGAAGAAGCCGAGGAAAAUCGGUUCCCGAUGGAGAAGUAAAUGGGAGAAGUGGCGUGUAGGCAGUUGAUUAGACGGCUAGGUAGACUAAACAAAAAGGCAAUGUGGGUAGACUGAGGAGUCAUACCUGUUCGUGUAAGUGCCCAUCCUUCUAGCGCUACAUGUGCCACUGGCUAGUUGAGGUCACUCUUUUGAAUCACCGUGAUGAGACAUUUUAUGAUUCCUUUUUUAUUUCUGCACCUUUCCUGAUAGGUGGGACCUAUGCAAACAGAUUAAAAAAUGUGUCAUAGCUGGUUCAACUAGAUAUUGGCGCGUGCAUGUGAGACACAACAUUCUUUGGUUAAGGAAUACGCAGUUAUCCUCAAAAAAGAAAAGGCCGUUCUUUGCGCUUUCGCAUGCACGAGAAUUUUGUUCUGCUCGCAAUAUGGAUGAUACCUGGAGGAUGAAGUGAACGCAGAGGCAUGCUAGCACGGGAGACCUAUUUCCGCUAUCUAGUACUGGAGUACUCAUGUUCCUACUACUACUAAAACUACUACUAGUACAACUGUGGUACACUUGAUGGUCAAAAUACUAUUCGUCUGGUCCUCAUAGUGAAGUGGCAAUACACUACACCUGACACUAGUCCAGGCGGCGUGUUCGGAUUACCAAAGUCAGCCUCACCUUGUGCACUGUGCAGUCCGUCACCGCCAAUGUAUAGCACAUUAGCAUGCAUCCCUCGUCUCCCUCUCCCCACUACAAAAAAAUACACUUCCGUGAUGAUACGUGUUUGUCACAGUAGGUCGCGUUUUUUGUCAUGCAUGUACAUCCAUGACGAUUUUAUGACAGAAUCAAGAUAGUCAUACCUGUGCUGUCGUAGAAGUGUUCCAUGAAAUUACCAAAAUUAUCAUCACGGAAGGGUCCACUUCCAUGACGAUAAAUCACGCGUCACAGAAGUGCUUUCGCCAAGGGUGACUGACAUGUGGCAUCCACCAUAACGUAACACCAUUAAGCUAUCGGGUCCCGUUUUGGAUCUGAUAACCCGUUAACAGCCCGGACCAAUGGGGAUUUUGCACGUGUAAAAUCAUCAUUGGCUGGAGGAAACACGUAUCGGCUCAUCGUUGGGACAGAUGUCAUCCACUCAUUGGACAGAAGGCGCCUAUGAUACGUCGACACGUGGCACGGCCCAACAGAGGCCCAUUCAUGUUAAAAGGCCGGCCCUUUUGACUUGGUCAAAAGGUGGUGGGCCGGACCAUGGAAAGCCUGUUAACGGCCUAUUCGCAUAUAGCCCAUUUAUAGCCCACUAACCCAAGGCCCGUUACGUCCUAUCCAAAUUAGGUCCAGUAGUGUCAUCUGGGCCAUCCAAUAUGAUUCCAGCCUGUUUUCACUUUUGGCCCAUGUAUGGCCCAUGACGUGUUUCGGCCCAUAUGAGGCCCUUUAUAACUCUUGGCCCAUUAACAGCCCGUGGUGAAACUGGCCCGUAAUGAACUGUGUAUCACUUUACACCCAUUAACGACCUGUGGUGAAACUGGCCCAUAAUGAAGAGUGUAUCACUUUAUACCUAUUAACGACCCAUUAUUUCGUUGGGCCGUUUCCAGCCCAUGUUAUCUUUCGGCCUUCUUAGAGCCCAUUUAUUCUUGGGCUCAUUUCCAGCAUUCAUUUACUUACGGCCCGUUACUGUCAUUUUCUACUUGUGGGCCAAAUUCAGCCCGUGGUUACAGUCGGCCGGUUUGUGGUCCGUUAAUAUGUUGGGCCGUUUUCAUAGCAUCAUCAAAUACGUCCUAUUAACGAUGGCCCAUUAUGGUCAGCCCAUGAACGGACGAUUCCAACUCUAGCCCGUUUACGGCCAUAAUGUGGUCUGUUUGGCCCAUGUUUGGCCAAUCGAUCAUACGACCCGUAUAAGGCCCAUUGAUGAUACAGCCCAUAGAAGGCCCAUUGUUUCUACGGCCCGUAGAAGGCACAUUGUUUCUAUGGCCCGUAGAAGGCCCACUGUUUCUACGGCCCGUAGGAGGCCCAAUGUCACUACAGUAAAUAUUAGCACAUGGUUAUUGUGGUCUAGUUUUAAAAAAUAGGUUAUUGCAGCCACUAGCAAACCGCGAAAAAAGAACUGCAAUGACUACAAACAAACAAAUAAAUAAGACAACAAGGAAAUAAAUAAGCAAGUAAGUAAUGCUAGGCUAUCACGGCUAUUACACAUAUUACAUCCACUGGGCAUCAAAGUUCGCCACCAGUGCAAAUAUAGGGAACAAAGCAGCAUAUCAUAUACACUGGUUGUCAAAGUUGGAGAGCAACGCAAAUAAACACCACAGCAUAACAAAUCCAGAACUGAAACCACUUCUGAAGAUCUCAAGAAACAUAUCCUGGGUACCCAUAAUGCUGGCAAGAUGCUUAGCAAGCUUAUUAACUUUCUCUUGUUUGGCAUUUAAAUCCUCCAGCGCUUGCUGUUGCACCAGGAAAUAUGCAUCUAAAUUCUGCAGGGACUUCUUCAGUCCUUCAACUUCCUGUGGCAGCACAUCUGAUCGAUGUCUUUCAACUUGAAGUUGAGACUCAAGAAGACGAACUGAUUCAGGCAGCGAAUUCGAAGAGCUUGUGCCAACAGUAGUGGCCAGUAACUCGAACACUACAUCAAGACAAGACUUUUGGGUUCUCUCACUGUCGUCAAGAUAGUUUUUAUCAGCUUUCUUGGAGACCAAUAGGGAUGUCUCACUAUCUUGAACCUUAUCUGCAUUACUUCCUUUACCAUUGCAUAACACGGUACUGUUCUCCAAUAUUUUGUCCGCAUUCUAAAAGAGAAACAAGCAGACACAUCACAGGUUUACCAUGUUGUAUAUGAAACUCAUUUGGAUAAGUGAAUUCAGUAGUAAAGUGGACGGGAUAACAACAUGAAACAAACAUAUAUCUAUGUACCAUCGUCACUUUAUGGUCUAUAUCAUUCUAGUUUUUGUUGCCAAAUCAAGAUAGAGACACAGUUCAAAUAAUAUUUGUUCAAGACAAAGCAGAAUAGACAGAAUAUAAGUGUGGGAAACUAUAGAGCAAUAACAACACUUGUAAUGUGCAUGACAUGAGAACAUAUAUGUUUAUUCAAUUGAAACUAAAAUCAACAUAGAGCAGGUUACAACAGCAAACCAGUUAAAGAAAUAGGUUUAAGACAUACUUGUUGCGCCAUUGGAGUUUGAAUUUCAUCCUUCAAAUUUGAAAAUAGUUGGUAUGAGUAAAUAUAGUAAUGCAAGAGCAAAGGAGUAUGAACCAUAGCUACAGAACCUGAACUGAGAACAAAUCUUCUUCUCCUUUAAGCGUUGAGUUGGGAUUCGGAGUGGUGGUCCUCGUGCUUUGGGCACUGCAGUUCCCUUACUAACUGCUCAUGUUUGGGUGCUCUGUGGUGGAGACGGUGUUGUGUCAACUGGAACUGGGUUACUAUCUGCCGGGGUUGGGGUUAGAAGGGGUGUAGCUGGUUCUCUGUCCAACUGGGUAGGGGUACAAUCUGCGAGAGUCUGGGUUAUGUGUGGUGGAUCUGGUCCUUGGGCAAGUACAACCGUGGUUCUAUCUACAUCAACUGGUAGCACUAUCUUUUCUAAAGACCGUGUUGUUACUCCCUUAGAUACUGCCAUCACCCUUUCCAAUUCAAAUGGCUGAUAAACAAGAAAAGUAAUUGAAAGUAUAGACAUUGUAUGAUAGACAGGUGCAAUGGAUAGUGGGGAAUAAAAGAGGGCAUGAAAUAAUUCAUAUUUAUGUUGUCUAACCAAACAUGAUAGCAUGACACAAUUUCACAUAUAUGAUGGCUAACUAAACAUGAUAGCAUGACACAAUUUCACAUUAUGAUGGCUAACUAAAAAAGGUGGAAAGACAUAGUUCAAAAUAUGAUGACUAUGUAAACAGGAUGACAUGAUAUAACUAUAUAAUGUGUUUAUUAAAUAUGUUGGCAUGCCAUAAUUCACAUACAUUCACGGAUAGAAUGCCAUAAUUCAAAAUAUGAUGACUGUAAACACUAAACAGGAUGAGAUGAUAUAACUAUAUGAUGUCUUUAUUAAAUGGGUUGCCAUGCCAUAAUUCAGAUAGAUGAUGUGUAUGAACUAUGUAAACAUGAUGGCAUGAUAUAAUUCAAAUAUAUGAUUUAUAUAGUAAGCAAGUAAGCAGAUGGCAAUCCAUAUAUGAUGUAAAAACUAAGCAAUGCAAGACAACAUGCAUGACAUGGGUAAUAUGACCCUGCCAAGUUUGAGCAUAGACCUCAGGGGGGAAAUAGGACUGGUCAUCAGUCUCUGAAUCCUCCUCUGAGGAGCUCUCUGUAACCAGCAAGAUGUCUGCUUCAGCAGGUAGCAUUGUCUGCUCUAAAUACCUUGUUUUCACUCCAGAUACUUCCAUCACCGCUUCAAAUGGCUGAUGCACAGGAAGAGUAGUUGAAUAUACAAAUGUUGUCGACAAAUGGAACACGUAAUAUAUAAAAAAUGAUAGCAUGAUAUAAUUCACAUACAUGAUGAUUGGCUAAACAGCAUGGCAUUGCAUAAUUCACAUAUAUAAUGCCUUUGCAACAAGAUAGCAUUGUAUAAUUCACAUAUAUAAUGUCUUGCAACAAGAUGGCAAUGCAUAAUUCACAUAUAUGGUAAUUAGACACUGAAUAGGUGGCAUUCACACAAAGCAUGUCUAAACUAAUCAAAUGACAUAGCAAUGCGANNNNNNNNNNNNNNNNNNNNNNNNNNNNNNNNNNNNNNNNNNNNNNNNNNNNNNNNNNNNNNNNNNNNNNNNNNNNNNNNNNNNNNNNNNNNNNNNNNNNNNNNNNNNNNNNNNNNNNNNNNNNNNNNNNNNNNNNNNNNNNNNNNNNNNNNNNNNNNNNNNNNNNNNNNNNNNNNNNNNNNNNNNNNNNNNNNNNNNNNNNNNNNNNNNNNNNNNNNNNNNNNNNNNNNNNNNNNNNNNNNNNNNNNNNNNNNNNNNNNNNNNNNNNNNNNNNNNNNNNNNNNNNNNNNNNNNNNNNNNNNNNNNNNNNNNNNNNNNNNNNNNNNNNNNNNNNNNNNNNNNNAUAGGACUGGUUAUCUGUCUCUGAAUCCUCCUCUGAGGAGCUAUCCGUAACCAGCGAGAUAUGCGCUUCGUGAGAUAGCAUAGUCUGCUCUGAAGACCUUGUUUUCACUCCAGAAUUUGCCAUCACCGUGUCAAAUGGCUGAUGCACACGAAGAGCAGUUGAAUGUACUAACAUUGUUGACAAAUGUAAUAUGUAACAAAAAAGGAGGGCUUGAUAUAAUUUACAUAUAAGAUGACUGGCUAAGCAGGAUGGCAUUCCAAAAUUCACAUAUAUGAUGCCUGGCUAAACAAGAUGGCAUUGCAUAAUUCACAUAAACGAUGAAUAGACUAAACAUAUGGCAUUCGCACAAAGGAUGUCUAAACUAAGCAGAUGCCAUAUUUGAUGUAUAAAGUAAGCAAUGCAAGGCACCAUAUGCAUGAUAUAACCAACAUCAGCAUGCCAAGUUAGAGCAAAGACCUCAGGGGGUAAAUAGGAGUUGUCUUCUCCUUCUGAAUCCCCCUCAGAACAGAUAUCUUCCUCUCGAUUACAAUCCGAAAUGCGUGGAGGGGGGGGGGGCUGCCUUUGCGCCUACCAUGGAGCGACGUCGGCAUGAAAUUUUAUUGCCACACAAGGCUCGUAUCAUUUGGUCUACAUGUUCAGUUCCAUUGUUUACAAUAACUAUCAUGCAUAGGAAUAAAACAUAGUGAGAUUAUGUAAGGAGUGCAUGCAGAAAUCCAGAGUGAUGGUAGCAACCUGUGGAUAGACCCAAAACCAAUAAUAGCAGGCAGAUAAUGGCUUCAGUUAAAAAAUACAGAUAAUGGCUUCUUUACUAUUUGUUUCCCACCCAACAUGAAACUCAUAGUAGACACCGGAGAUUAACCAGAUAGUAGAUAGAUAAUAUUGAUUGCGGCCCCGAUAUGUACCCCACAACCAUUUAAAAACUCAAGUUUGACCAUUAGUUUGGAGCUGAUUCAGAGUCUAAUUGGUGAACAGGACGAUAAAUUAGCAUGUAAUAUUAAGCGAUGCAUAACAUAAGAAGACACGAAAGAGUGCGGCCUCUCUUGCGGACCCGUGUAGUCCUCGAGGUCAUCUGCUCGGUUGAUCAUGGUAAUGCAGUUUUCAUGGCUGUCGGCGGCAGGGAAGAAGAUCUGAGGCAGCGAAAGACAGUCUAGAGGCUGAAUCCCUGUUGUGCUAGACCCUUCUGUCGUUGGAGCAGCUGAGCUAGGGUGGAUGACAGCACAGCAGGAGCGGGACAAACCACGCAAGGUUUUCUUUGACCACUAUCUGUAAGAGAAGUUAUUCUGUAAGGGCUCGUUUGAAUUGGAGGAUUCCAACAAUGCAGGGAUAGGAAAUAGACAUGAAUAGGAUAGGAAUGCACGUGCAAAACAGAGAACUUAAAAACACAGGAUUUCUGCCAAUCUGGGUGUUUGAUUCAAAACAAUUGGAAGAUCACAGGAUGCAAAGAAGCAUGGUGAGAUUAAGUUAAACCACAAGAAAAUGUACAGUUAUAAUGCUAUUAUGCUACUAUCUCUUAGUCUUGUGCUUCAUGAAUAGGAAUUUGAAAAGGAGGACACGUGAAAAUUAAAAUUCCUACAUUUUUUCUUUCAAGGAGACACUAAAGGAACAAAUCCUACAAUUUUCCUUUGCACCAUUCCUUUGAACCAAAUUCAUGAAUAGUAGUACCAUAGGAAACUUUCCAAUUCCUAUGUUUUUCAUUCACUUUUCCUUUCAAGCACUCACGAUUCUAGUAGGCAGGCAUGAGCAAGGAAAAGCCUACACUAAAAAAAUGUUUUUGUGCUACUUCUAUUACUUUGGACCCAGGCCACUGCCAUACUAGCUCAACUCUCAGGGCCAUCGGCAAAUGCAUAGCUCAAACGCGUAGAGAUAAAUAAUGAUGGCUUUCAAGAGAGUCCAUCAUGAAAAGCUAAGUUGCCUGGUACCUCACUACUUGUCAUAUAGUAGGAUAAAAUAAUCGUAUUUCCCGUUACUACGUGUGCUCAGUGGACAAUAUAUAACAUGUAGAGUAAAAAAGAGAUGCAACAAGUGUACAACCUCUUUGGCGAAGCCAUGUCAAUCUCAGCGUGAUUGGGUUGGCCGGUGAGGAUGCUCCGGCUGACUUGGCUGUCGGAGGAGGGGAAGAAUAUCUUAGGCAUCUGGAGAUUGAGCCCGAGGUACUGCUCCACUGUGAUGGAGGGUUUUGUCGUUGGAGCAGCUCUGGUGAGUUGUACGACGCCGAGGCUGAAGUAGGACAAGAGAGACAAUGUUAACCUGAGUGGAACUCUAAUAGCAUCUCCAAUACAUGACGUAAAAUACAUAACCACAAAGUGCUAGAUGUAAAAUACAUCAGCUGCUCAUCUCUGAACUUAACUGUCGAAACUGAAUUUAACUGUCGAAACUGAACUUAACUAUCGAAACUGAAUUUUGCUGUCGAAACUGAAUUUUGCUGUUGAAACUGAACGCACUAGCAAGGUGAGGCUACACGUCGGUCGACUGACUUUUUCAUCCUGGUCAGUCGAUUUUGCAGCCGUUUGAUUCGAAAUCAAGGGUCUGUAGUUCAUCUUCGACCUCCACCCCCCUGAGCCGCCAGCCACCACCGGCCAAACAGCAGCCCCCCGCCACCCGCGGCCGGCGGUGCGCCGCCCCGCCCGCCCCGAAAACACUCCCCACCGCCGGUCCUCCGCCUCCCCGACCAUCCCUCUAGCCCCCCCCGUGCUGAGCUUUUUCUCCGGCGAUCCCCACGCCACCGCCGGCGACCACCGUCCCCACCCUAAACCCUAAGAUAGAUAGUGGGGUACCUCUUCGGCGAGCCCCCCUCCCCGCUGCGGCUAGUUCUUCCUUCAUCCCGGUGAUCCCGCCACCCCCUGAAAAUCGACUGACCCAAAAGUCGAUUCAGUCAACUGAAGUGUAGCUAAAUCAAAGUAGCAUCGCAAGCAAGAGCAAGAGCGAGAGCAGCAAUGCAAGGAAGACCAAUAGCAAGAGUAGACCAGGCAGGGGACCGAGAGCAUGAGCAGAGCAGUAGCGCAAGCGAGAGCUAAAGCAGCAGCAGCUCCUACUGAUGUGGACGUCUCCGCCGAGGGAGCGAUGCCAUGGAGGAAGUGGCCAGCGAAGCCGCCGUGGAUGGAGCCGCGCCGUGUCAGCUCGGGACUGAGCGCCGGCAGCACCAUGAGAUCGAAUCAAGAAGAAAAUGCAGUGAUUAGUGUACAACCUCUAUGGUGGCGCCGAUUAGGCCGCAGCUUCAUCCGAGGAAACAGUGAUGAUGAUGCUCUUCCGGUGGUGCAGGUGAAGACGGCGGUGUGGGAAUGGAGGUGGCGCAAAAGACGAGGGGAACAUCAGGGCAGCUCCUUGGAGGUGGAGAACGGGGUGGAUGAACCGGCGGUACAAUGAGAUCGACGACGGAUCCUCAUCCAGUAUGGUGGAUGAGGGACGUCGAGGUGUUGCUGUGGACGACGUCGUCGGGGAAGAGGCUCCAGCUGGGUGGCGGACAGAGCAGGGUGUGGGGCUUCCUCGCGGAUUUUCGCGGCCUCGGUGUACGAAUGGGUGGGCGGAUGGGAUGGCAGUGGGGAACCAUGGCUUAGGGACGCACUUGUCCGAAAUGUGGGGUAAGUUACAAAAGUACCCCCACCGAUUUGAGGCGGUUCUUUCGGUUCAGGGGUACCACGGGCAUUUCGCAUGUCGGGAUUUCACAGGAGGUGGGGGUUUUCGUGCGUGUUGUAAUUUCGGAAUAGCAAGGCGCAUGUUGAGAUGGAGGGAGUUGUCGAAGCACGACGAGACAAAGAUAUAUCUUAAAUAUUUCGGGCUAACAAGGCGUGGGUUGAAAUUUCCGGACAAGCCUACCGUGUACUAUACCAAAUCAAUGCGCACUACAAAUGUCAUUCAAAACUUUGAAUUCAUGUUAUGUUCAAUUAAAAUAUUUUGCUACGUGUAUAAUGCAUGCAACCUACUACUCAAAUGAACGUUUUAGUGCAUUCCAAACGUAUAUACUACCGCUUCAAUGUGAACAAAAUUUGAAUUCAUUUCUCUAUUUGAAUAAGAUCUACAGUAAUGAUUGUUGUGAAGUCAAAGCAUUUGAAUUUGUUUCUCUGUUUUAAUAAGAUCUACAAUCACCAUUAUUGUCAAGUUAAACCAUCGUUUGUGUAUUAUCUUCACAGCACACCACAUGAUUAGUCUCAAGUUACAUAUGAACUAUGUGUACUAUAUGAACUCAAACUCGAUUUUUUGAAUCCACUUUAUGUUGAUUUCAAAUCACAUUACAUUUCUAGCUCUAGCUAGAUCUUCAUAAUCUAAACCAUGUCUCAUAUGUAUAAUGUGUUUAUCACAUUAUGUAUGGUGCCCCGCCCCCUACGCCUACAAGUAUUUAGAUGUGAGUUGCAAACACCACACAUUACCACAAAUUCAAAUAAAAUGUGAGAAUGUUCGAUAUAUAGUAUUGUUUAGAUUGUUUGAUAUUUAGUUGUAAGCUGCAAAGGCCACACAUUAUCACAAAUUCAAAUAAAAUGUGAGACUGUUUGAUGUAUAGUAUGGUUUAGAUUGUUCGACAUUUAGCUGUGAGUUGCAAACGCCAUGCAUUAUCACAUUAUGUUAUAUCAUGUGCACAACACGUGUAUCACCGCUAUAUUCAUGCAUGCAUAUGUUUAAAACACUAUGAUCUCCUAUUCAAAUAUAUGAAUCUGCUUUCAUAUCAAAUUAUGAUCUUUGUUAGUCUCUUACACCCACACAAUCCUCUAACUUUUGUAGCUGCCACUAACUUUCUCUCGUGCAUGCACACGCCCUCCUCGCCCUCCCCCUCCCUCGGCAUUCUAUCCACCAAGCACAUUCAUUUUUUUUCUUUAGGCCGUUCUCCCAGAGUCUCCACAACUCCUUUCCGACACACACCGAUCGAUAAACCUCUCCAGCGAUGCCUGCCUACAACAUGCACAUGCACCAUCAAUCUCCUCCUUUAUGUGUCUUUGCCUCAUGUCUCUCAUACGAUCACACACACGUGUAAACUCUCGCCCCUCUUUUCAUCGAUCUCACAACCGCACACUCCUCCCCCUAUCUAGCCAGUAGCUGGGCCUCUCGCACUACCUCCUAGCUCCAUUCUCUCUGUCUAUCCGUCUCACUGGGCCUUAUUUGCCUCUAACAAAUGGACGUACACUGACCGAUCUCUCGCUAUACAUAUAGCUAGCUAGGUCCUUAUAACUCGUUUUUACACACGCGUCGAUCGAUCUACCUCAUUAGUUAUGUCUUUUCCUUCCUCCGACAAACAACAAUUGAUCUACUGAUCUAGUUAGGUUUGCUUACCAAACACAUGGUUCCCCUUCAUCAUCCAUGGAUGCGUCCCGACAGAUCUAUCACGCACAGGCACACACAGAAACACAUCCCCACUCUUAAUGAUAACAUUGUAGUUCCACCCUCAGCUUGUCUAGUAGGCCUCUCCCACCAUCUUCGAGAAGCAACUCCAUCACCCAUCCAACACUCUACCCCUCUCCCUCCCUCUCUCCCUCCCCCCUCUCUCUCUCUCUUUGUCCCAUCAUAUUUACCGUUCUUCAGUUAUGUAUGGAUGUCGACCGAUCUCCCUCAAGACAUAGCUGGGUCUCUCCUUCUCAACACAUAUAUGAGUCAUUCUACCUCUAUAGUUAGGCCACUGCCUACCCCUCCCCCCACCCCCUCCCCCCACACACACCGAUACAUCGAACGCUCUAGUCAUGUCUCCCUUCCACACACAAACUUGACAUGUGCCCUCUGACGUUCCGGUAGGUCAGUCGCCCUAUAUCUUUGACUUGCACACACACACACACACACACACACACACACAAUUUCGAUGGUUCUCUUCAUCGAUCUCGCACCCACCCACUUGAUCCUCUCUUCGACUCUAUUGAUAUCUUUGACCCCUCCCUCUCUUCUCGUGGAUUGCCUGACCCUCUAUAUAUGAUAUGGAUAGGCCUCCAUUUCACACACAUUGCAUGCAAAAUUUUGUUUGAGAUGUCAUCGACACAUAUUCCCACAAAUACAUUCACGAAAUCAACCCCCACCCCACCCCACCCCAAAACAAAAAACACUCACGAAUGCGGUUUGUAUCUCUCACACACCCAUGUAGGUGGGGGACGUGCAUGAAGAGAAGAGGUGCAUGCACGGCGCACGUACUCCCAUCUCUCUCCCAACCACACCCAUGCGGGUACACGGUGGAACUCAUUUCUAUAUGAAAAAGGCAGCCCACAUGGUAAUUUGGCACGUGUACUGGUUGUCCACUUGGUGGAGGGAGGAUCGUCUACCACGGGUGAACAAACAAAUUGCGACUUGACGCGUUAUGUUAAAAAAGAGGCAAACAAUGUGGGGCCUACCUUAGAGGCAAGGCUCUAUACAUUGGAGUACUUUUGAUGUGUCCCAUCAACUCGCAGAACGAGGAGAAGCUUGCUUAGUAUGCCGUCUCCCCCGCCCACGGGCGCAAUAUGAUAGGUUCAUAUGGAGAGAACAGGAAACCGCUCCACUAUAUACAUAGUCAGGAUGGGCUAGCCUACACGAUUGCUUGCUGGGGUUGCUCUCUUCACACUCUCUCACGCAAAAUGAAUGUGGCCACAUCUCUAACAACCCGACGGAUCACGUCCGCUGGGGGGAGGUGUGGAUACUUAGUGUAGAUGCGGUCACCGUUGUCGACCGCGAAAACCCACUAUCGGCACGUCCCGAUCAGGGGUCCCCGCCGUUCUCUCUCACAAAGCCGGUGAGGUUGCCUUCGUCCCUUGCUCACUGCCGUGACGUGGGCAGUUGCCACCUCCCGCCGCCCUCCUCAAGGUUGAGCUACGUCCCUCAAGUACAACUCCCUUUACAGCCGGCUUGCACCACUGCUCCAGCUGCCCACAUCACUCCAUGUGGAUAUUUCUCUACUUCUUUGCCCCGCACAUACCUCUACUGGCUUCUACGUACUGUAUUUGUGAUGAGUUUAUGUCUCAUCAACUAGUCCCAGUAAUCUGAUUCUAAUCAUGCUUCUUCAAUUUCUUUGCCACAGGGAUGCUCAUCUUGAUUUUGGUGAAACUGCACAAAAUGAUCCGAUGGUCAAAAGGUUGCAAACUUCAUUUCUUAGGAAGCUCGAACGUUGCCAGCAAAUUGAAGCCUGGUUAGGGUUCACGGUUCAAGGGCUAGGGACUGCAUGGAUCAUUUUUUUCUUUAGCUACCUCUGUUCCAAAAUAAGUGUCAACUUUAGUAGUAGUAAAACUUUGUACUAAAGUUUGCAUAAAGUUGAGACACUUAUUUUGGAACGGAGGGAGUACAUAUUUGCUAUGAUCUGUCAAUCAUUGAGAUGCAAUAGCAUGCAUGUUAGUCUCCUUUGUAUUUGAUGAAAUGUUGCAACGGGCAACCUUGGAUGCAAGAUACAUGUAACAGAAGCUAGAAGCUUCAUAGCAUUGUACAAAUUUAUCUCGCUGAUAAAUUACAGUACGUACUAUACUAAUACUUCCUCUGUUCCUAAAUAUAAGUCUUUGUAGAGAUUUCACCAUGAACCACAUGCGGAUGUAUAUAGAUGCAUUUUAAGUGUAGAUUCAUUCAUUUUGUUCUGUCUAUAGUUCACCUAGUGGAAUCUCUACAAAGAGUUAUCUACUAGUAAUAGAUAUCCCCCACUACUAGGAAUUCUCUAUCCUCUCCUUGAGCCACAUCAUCAAAAUUAUAUGUAGCCAUUAGAUGAACUAAAUCAGUCCAUAAUAGCCGUCUGAUCUAGAUGUUGAGAGGCUCCGCACUAAGCCACAUGCAAGCAUGCAGAAAUACCGUGGCAUGCAUGUGAGUGGGUUUUAAAUCACAUCAACAUGUAUGCACGCAAGCAUGCACCGGUAGCAUGCAUGUAAGUGAGGUUUUAAGUCCCAUUAACAUGUCAAAAAGAAAAAUAUAAUCCCAUUAUGCAGUAGGAGUUGGCUGAUCUUUUUUCCUUACGUGGGAUGAUCUAAAUGAUGAUGGGAGUUUUUCUUAGUUUGGCUACCACAUUUGUCAUGCGGUUAUAGAGUUUUUUUAGUUCUAUGAAAUCGAUAAUUUUACGCAGAGAGAUAUACGGCUGUUUCGCGGCAACGCGCGGAGACUCAUCUAGUAUUAAGGAACUGAGGGAGUACUAUGUAAAGAGUUAGGUGUCGCACGGUGUCCAAAAAAAUAUGGUGAUAGUGUGAGGUGGGCCAUGUAAUCACUGAGCCUGCAUGUUUUCAUUGCUCUUGCACUCCUCCGCUGUAAGAAUGGAGAAAAUUGUAAUCUAGUAGUACCUCCUUUCACCGAAAGCGUGGGACAUCCAGCAGUCCUACCACCUCAGUAAUAAAGACCAAUGAGCCGUCAAAUCACAUAGACCCAGCAGUAAGUUGGACGGACAAAGCAACCAUCACUCUUGCGCCAGUGAGAGGUCGCAUCCGCUCUUCCCGGACAUGAAUGCUGCACCGAUUCUUUGUAGCGGUGCUGACCGUUUCUGGUAGGAAGCGUGUGCGAGCGAUGGAGGUGCUUUGGGUGGGCCAGGCUGGUCAGGAGCGGGUGCGGCAGCUGUUCGCAUGUCCCUACCGGACACGCCCGGAAACGAGAGGAUGCACCGACUCUCAUGGCUAAAAUCAUACACUACACACCAUCUCUUUGUAGGAGUAGGUCGAUCUGUCACUCUCUCUAACACACACAUGAUGUUAAACACACACACACACACACACACACACACACACACACACGCACCUUGGUCCCGCUGCACCUUCCAACGUGACUUAUUACACCUAGACGGAGGGAGUAUUAAGUACGAGAUACAGUGGCACACUGACUUAGGUCGAAUACAAGUGCCCAAAAUUGUGUGCAUGUUAUAAUAAGGAUUCACUUAAAAUUGUACGUGAGCGAACAGAGGGAUCAAUUGGACAGUGUUCCCGAGCAGUAGCGAGAUGUGUGAGGUAAGAUACACCGCUAGCGCUUUUAUUUUUUCUUAUUAAUUUGUUUGUUUCACCCUCUGACUGGUGGGACCCAACGUACUACGUGGAGAGAGGUAAGGUGACUAAGGUUGCAUUAUUUCUGCACCACUGUGGAUAGUCUUACCACCAAAGCCACAUGACACGAUUAUGAUUUAAAUCCCAAUGACUCCCACACACAAAAAAAA
RNAcentral lists this long non-coding RNA (65618 nucleotides) under Triticum aestivum (bread wheat). RNAcentral describes it as "long non-coding RNA (TAES_LNC002768)". The stretch from base 316 to 444 matches the Rfam family "MIR1120/MIR1122 microRNA precursor family". Lineage: Eukaryota; Viridiplantae; Streptophyta; Magnoliopsida; Poales; Poaceae. The record is from RNAcentral.